This 85760-nucleotide long non-coding RNA is filed under the name Gossypium barbadense (sea-island cotton). RNAcentral describes it as "long non-coding RNA (GBAR_LNC013525)". Lineage: Eukaryota; Viridiplantae; Streptophyta; Magnoliopsida; Malvales; Malvaceae. The record is from RNAcentral.
UCGCUCACUCCGGAACAAGUCCAUGAGGACCAAAUCAAACUGAAAAAUUCUGUUGUUAAAACAAGUGAGGAAAAAGAAAAAGAAGAGAAAAAUACAAGUGAAAAAGAAGAAAAUGAAAAUGAAAAAGGCGAAAAGGAAAGCGAGAGAGAAACAAAAGAAAAUGUGAAUGAAGUGAGUGAACAAGAGAGAGAGCUUAAAUAAGGAAUGAGUGAAGAAGAAGAGAGUGCUCAAACACAAGGGAGAAAUAUUUUUGCUAACCCCCAUUCGAAAUCACCUUGUGAUUUCUCUUUGUUUCAGGUUUACAAGAUUCCACCCAUGGACAGGUUCCAGCUUCAUUACCCUUCUACCGAGAGACGUUUUCAAUUGAUUGAACAAGGUAAAACUGAUCCUCGUUUUCCCAUCUCUAAUGGUAAGCAAGGUGAAGUUUCUGUAUUCUCUAAACAACUACAUUCAACUCCUAUUGAUGACUUUGCUCAUGACUUGAAUUUUGAAAAGGUACUGUAUGUUAUUGUUGAUAAUUUCCAUUCUUGGAUUGAUGACAUUUUAAUUUACUCAACAACAUUAAAUGAUCAUUUUUUCCAUGUUAGAACGAUUUUAGACAUUCUAAGAGCUGAAAAAUUGUUUGCCAACCUUGAUAAAUGCACAUUUUGUUGUGAUAAGCUAAUAUUUUUAGGUUUCAUAAUUAGUGCUCAGGGUAUUCAUGUCGAUGAGGACAAAGUUAAGGCAAUCAAGGAAUGGCCAACUCCUAAAUCGAUAAUUGAGGUGAGAUCUUUCCAUGGUUUAGCUAGUUUUUAUAGACGAUUUGUGAAAGAUUUCUCCACCAUUGCAGAGUUGGUGAAAUCCUUACACGAGAAGGCUAGGCAGCGAAUAGCCAAAACCAAUGACAUCAACACCAACAAAGAAAACAAGAGGCCCAAACGGGUUGUCUUUGAACCCAGAGAUUGGGUUUGGGUCCAUAUGAGGAAAGAACGAUUUCCUACAAAAAGAAAGACCAAGUUGGACCCAAGGUGAUGUGAGCUUGCCUACGAACCAAGUAGAGAUCGAACAAGAAGCUAUAAAGCUGCCCAUUGGUCCGAUAACGCGAGCUAGAGCUAAACGAUUCAAAGAUGCUAUUUCAGCAAUGGUGGAAUGAAUUAAGGAGAAUGAUAGCAAAGAACCUAGAGAUGAGCUGAACAUUUUCAACUUCUUUGAAGCUGAAUUUCGUUCCAGCUAAUUAAUUUGUUGCUGGAAUUUUGGACCUUUUUAAAUAAGCACUUAAUUAAGUUUUACUACAGCCUUUAAAUAUGUCUUUAAUUAUUACAAGUGUUUAAUAUGUUAUUUUAGCUGAAUUGAAUGUGUCUAGAUGUCUUUAAAUUGGUCUGAACAUAAGACAUGUUUUAAUUGUGUCUAGCCGAAUUAAUAUGUCCUACUUAGUUAUAAUUUAAUUUGUUCUAAUGUCAAUUAGUAUGUUCAUAUUAUUUUUUUAAUUAAUUCAGCUGAAUUAAAUUAAAUUAAUGAGGUUUAUUUGUUUUGUUUAGGUUCAGCCGAAUGUGAAGAUGCAUGGGAAAGAUUGGCCGAAUGUGGAUUGCAUUAAACAAGAUGCAUGCAUGUUUGAUUCAAUGCACCUAGCGAUACAUGCAUGAACUACAUUAAAAAUGGUGUGCUGAUUUUUGAAGUUCUCUAAGUGACCAUUCUGCUAAAGAGAUAAUUUUUCAAAGCUGCCAUUUAUUUCUUUCACAUUGCUGGAUACAUUUUGGCCAUUCGGUUCAUGGUGUUCACACUUUAAGGCUCUUCAAAACCGUCCAUUCACACCUAAUAUGGCUGCUCAAGUACUCUCUUUAUUAUUGGUAAUUUUUCAGCAAGAGUUGCCUAUUGAAUGCUCAUUUAAGCCCAUUAGCCGAAUGUAGCUGCUACAUGCAUCUCCAAGAUCCAUUUGCUUAAUGUGGAAGUUUCAUAGUUGGUCAAAAUUCAGCCGAACCUACAUUGGCAAUAUUCAUGGAUUCAAGUUGAAUUUUUGUUCAAUGUUUGCUUAGAAAUUAAGCCUAGAAUAUGUCCAUUUGGCUACUAGACAUUAGACUAUAUAUAGUUGCUGAAUUUCUUAUAAAAGGACUUUUUGAAAAAUUUUGAAUGAAUUAUAUUUUUGGUGAGUUAAUUCACUCUCCUUAUUCUCCAAAGCUCAAUUGACUUAUCUUCACAAGUGGCGUCAAUCUGACUUUGUUUCGAACUUAUCACCAUUAGGUGUGGCGUUCUUCAUACCGUAGGUUCCUUUUUGCUAAAUAGAGGGUCUCAAUUUUUAUCCUAAUUCCUUUUCUUUCUUUGAAACCUUUUAAACCCAGGUCCUUAUUUGCUAAUUAGGGUUCGUUCUUGUUUUAUUGGAAACCAUCAAACCACCUUUUUGCUUCCUAAUUUAUUAAAUCGUUAUAACUCAAAAGAUUGAAUUUGAAUUAAAAUGACACUACCUAAUUUCAAUCGGUAACAUAUUUACGACUCGUCACAUCUUUCGAAACGAGCUCAUAUCACAAGGGGCGAUGGGCCUUUCCAAGUACUCGAGCUGAUCAACGAUAAUGUGAUACGAUCUCGGUUUAGUAGUUGAGUUCGAGUCGUUUGGUUCCCGAUCGUAAACGAAGAAGUAGAUUAGACGAGAAGGAGUUAGAAUAUAUUUGUGUACAAGAAGUAAGAUAAGUUCGUGCAAAGUUGGAUGUGGAUUUGGUUUAAGUCGAAAUGGUAUGAAUAGAAUGGAAGAGUUCGGUUUAGGAUCAUUAAGAAAUGGUAUUUGGUUUUGGUACGUUUUGGUAUUUGGGAAUUGGUACAAAAUGGUAUGGAAUUGGUAUGAAAUGGUAUGGUAUUAAAGAGGUCAAGAAUGAACCAACACUAAAGAAAAGUGUCGACCCGAAACUUAUAGGACCUAAAUGAAUUAGAAAUGGUUGAAAAGGACCUUGACCCGAUACUUAGGAAAGUAUGAACCAAAGGCAUCAAAGGUGAAUGCCACACUCGGGUUUAAGGAGUGAUAAGUUCGGAAAAGACUCAGAAAGACGCCACUAAAAGCUUAGAUAAGUCUUACGAGUCUCGAAUGAAAUUUGAGAGAAAAUGCCUCACAAAUUUGGCAGCAAUUCGCUAAUUAAAAUGUCAAAAAGUUCUUUACAAAGUAAAAAAUUCAACUAUUUAUAAUAAUCUCCUAAGCUAGCCGAAUGGUCUCUUUCAAUCCUUAAGGAGUAAGCAAAUGAACCACUUGAAUGUGCUAGCUAGAUUCGGCUGAACUUGACAAGCUUCUAGAACUCCCAUUGAACCUUGGUCACUUUGAAUGGUGCAUGAAGAAGUUAAAUUCGGCCAAUGUACAUAAAUGAACUCAUUUAAGUUGUAUCUUUUGCUGAAAAGUGACCAGCCAUUAAGAGGGAUUUGAAUGGCCAAAUGAUGUGUGAACACUCGGUUUCAAAGAGUCUUUGUGUGUGAACAUUCCAAACUGAAAAGCCAAGAGUGUGAACUUCAUGUGUGAACGGCAUUAUGCUGGUUCUUGAAUCAUUUAAAAAUCAGCUGAACAUUCCUCAUGCAUGUAACGCCACAUUCAUUGAACCUAUGAUGCAUGCACCUAGCUUAAAUGCUUCCAUCCACAUUCGGCCAACCUACACAACAUGAACAAAUGAAUUUAGUAGAUCAUUAUUCAGCUGAAUCAUAUUAAAAACGAAAUUUAGACAACAUUAAUCCAAAUAAUUAAAACAAAACUCAAUUAAUUAAACUAAGUCUAAUUAAUUCAGUUUGGACAAGACACAUUAAAACAUGUAUUAAGACUUAUUUAUAAGCUGUAGGAAUUUAAUUUAACUUAAUAACAUGUAAGAAAAACACAAUUAAUCAUGCAUAAUUAAAUCCAACCAGAUUUGAGACAAAUUAAAUAGCAAAAAUUAUUUGAGCUGAAUUUGCAAGUUUUGAGCUAAAUUGAGCUGAUUUGAGAUCAUUGAGCUAAAUUGGAAGUUAAUUCAGCUCGUAGUAAAAUGCAUGGAGUGUUCUUCGAGUUGGUCCAAGCUUCUUCGAUGUGCCCAACCAAAGUCUCGCCCCAAACUUUGUUAACUAAAGCCGAAACAGCCUCCUUGAAUUGUUUGGCUCGUGAUCGGGUGAUGGGACCUUGAGGCAGCUCCAAAGGCUCCUUGCUCGAGCUAGAUUGGACUUGAGGCGUGGCCGUAUCAUCCUCCCCCUCUUCAAAGCGAUUUGCCCUCAAAUCGGAAUCUGCAUCAAAAGGGGAUAAGUUAGAGACAUUAAAACUUGCACUUAUGUUAUACUCACCUGGUAGAUCAAGCCGAUAAGAAUUUUCAUUAAUUCGUUCCAAAACUUGGAAAGGUCCGUCGCCACGCGGUAAUAGCUUUGAUCUACGUUGGGCGGGAAAGCGUUCCUUUCUCAUGUGAACCCAAAUCCAAUCACCAGGUUCAAAGAUAAUUCUUUUACGACCCUUAUUCGCUUUCCUAGCAUAACUCUCGGUUCUUGCUUCAAUGUUGGCUUGAACUUUUCGAUGUAACUCCUUUACAUACUCGGCCUUCUUUUUAGCAUCUGCAUGAAUAAGUUGAUCGUUAGGUAAAGACGCUAAAUCUAAAGGAGUUAACGGGUUGAAUCCAUAAACGAUUUCAAAAGGAGAGUGUUUCGUUGCCGAAUGAACGGAUCGAUUGUACGCAAAUUCUAUAUGCGGUAAACACUCCUCCCAUGACUUGAGAUUUUUCCGUAUGAUGGCUCUUAACAAAGUUGAUAGCACUCGGUUGACCACUUCCGUUUGGCCAUCCGUUUGGGGGUGGCAAGUGGUUGAAAACAGCAGUUUAGUCCCGAGCUUUCCCCAUAAUGACCUCCAAAAGUGACUCAAAAACUUCGCGUCUCGAUCUGAAACAACCGUUCUCGGGAUGCCAUGCAAACGUACAAUUUCCUUAAAGAAAAGGUUAGCAAUGUGAACGGCAUCAUCAAUUUUUGAACAAGAAAUAAAAUGAGACAUUUUGGAAAAACGAUCAACAACAACAAAAAUAGAGUCCUUCCCCAUUUUAGUCCUAGGCAAUCCAAGGACAAAGUCCAUGGAGAUGUCCUCCCAAGGUGCGUUGGGUAUGGGGAGCGGCAUAUACAACCUGUGCGGCUUAAUCUUGGAUUUGGCCUUCUUGCACGUCACACAUCGCGCACACACUCGUUCAACGUCCCUUUUCAUUUUCGGCCAAUAAAAAUGCUCUUGGAGGGUUGCUGAUGUGAUCUGGCUCGGUUGAUGGAGUCGAGUUCACUUAAGUUGCCCGAUCGUCGACAAGAAGUAUUGGUUGAUGUCGAAUGGAGAUAACUUUAUGGAGUUGUUUUAAGCGGAAGUAAUUAAAAGGGUUCAAAAAUGGCUUGGUUUGGAGAAUGGAUAGGUUCGGUUUAACAAAGAAAAUAAAGUUUAAGUAGAUAGAUAAAAUGGAAUGGAAAUUGAACUCAAGCGAAGAACGAUUCAAUACCAUUUAAAGUAUUGCCCCGGGACUUAUAUUGCUUAAGGUGGGUUUAAUGGAAGUCGAAGAUGGACCUUGACCCGUUACCUAUAGAGAGGUAGGAACCAAAGGUAUAAAAAGGUGGAUGAACGCCACACCAGGAUGGUGAUAAGUUCAAGGAGUCGGGUUGGCGCCACUAGCGAGCUAGAUAAGUCAGAACGAGACUCGUACGAAAUAGGAUAGGAGGAAACCUCACAAUCAAGUUUAAUAAUCAGAAUUGUAUAACCUUUUUACAAAGAGAAAUGAACUAUUUAUAGAGUUCAGAUGAUAGCCGAAUAGUCAUACUAAACAAGCUUAAAGACUAAGUAAUUCGGCUUUAAAUGUGUAAAACUAAACUAGAAAUGUAUCCAUUAAAAGUGAUGUCCAAAUUCGGCUGUAUGGAUGUUCAAUGGCCAACUUCAUGAGUAAGGAAAUGUACUUGAAGGCUGAUGAAUGCAUGGGAUGCCAAUAGCUUUGUCUAGAUUCGGCCAAGGUGUGAAUGGGCACUUCAAAAGAUGUCUUUUGGCCGAAUAGGUGCAUAGGAAAUUCAAUGGUCAACAACCGAUGCAUGUAGGUGGAUAUUCAUGCACUCUUCCAUUCAUUGUAUUGAAUCAUUCAUGCAUCAUCUUUAAGGCAACCAUUCGUUGUAGGUAGUCAUGCAUGUACCCGAACAUACAUUGAACCAGAAAUGUUCAUGAAUCCUCAUUAAUUGUGUUCCCACAUGUGGAUGUACCUACAAAAGAUAUAAACAAAUUAGAUUCAAGGUACAUUCAGCUUAAAUUAAAUAAUAUCAAGACAUAUUUAACAAAUUAAAAUAAAGACAUAAAUAAAAUAUAAUUAAUAAUAAAUUCGGCUAGCUCAAUGAUAGUCAAAAUUCUUGAUGAGCUGAAUUGAGCUAGAAAAUUCGGUUAUGAGCUGUAGUAAAAAUAAUUAAAAUAAAACUAUCACUCAAAUUAUUCAAAUAAUAAAAUUAACGAGCUGGAAAGAAGCUAAAUUGAGCUCAAAUAGGUGGAAUUGAGCUCAAGUGAGCUGAUUGAAGUCGAAUUGAGCUAAGGGAGCUGGAAUUGAGCUGAAAUUAGCUUGCACUAAGGUGCAUGGUUUCUUUAAGGAGUUGGAUNNNNNNNNNNNNNNNNNNNNNNNNNNNNNNNNNNNNNNNNNNNNNNNNNNNNNNNNNNNNNNNNNNNNNNNNNNNNNNNNNNNNNNNNNNNNNNNNNNNNNNNNNNNNNNNNNNNNNNNNNNNNNNNNNNNNNNNNNNNNNNNNNNNNNNNNNNNNNNNNNNNNNNNNNNNNNNNNNNNNNNNNNNNNNNNNNNNNNNNNNNNNNNNNNNNNNNNNNNNNNNNNNNNNNNNNNNNNNNNNNNNNNNNNNNNNNNNNNNNNNNNNNNNNNNNNNNNNNNNNNNNNNNNNNNNNNNNNNNNNNNNNNNNNNNNNNNNNNNNNNNNNNNNNNNNNNNNNNNNNNNNNNNNNNNNNNNNNNNNNNNNNNNNNNNNNNNNNNNNNNNNNNNNNNNNNNNNNNNNNNNNNNNNNNNNNNNNNNNNNNNNNNNNNNNNNNNNNNNNNNNNNNNNNNNNNNNNNNNNNNNNNNNNNNNNNNNNNNNNNNNNNNNNNNNNNNNNNNNNNUUCAACCUUUAUGGCCAUAUGGACCAUAUCAAUGACCUCGACAUAAUGGUGUAGCUCCACAAUAUUUGCAAUAUCUCGGUUAAGGCUGGCGAGAAAUCGAGCCAUGGUGGCUUCUCGAUCUUCCUCCACAUCGGCGCGGAUCAUGGCCACUUCCAUUUCCUUGUAGUAAUCCUCCACGCUUCGUUGGCCUUGAGUUAAGCUUUGGAGCUUUUGAUACAACUCCCGGUGAUAGUAAGCAGGAAUGAAUCGCUUUCUCAUUAUGGCUUUCAUUUCUGCCCAUGUAGACAUGGGACGUUUGCCAUUGCGUCUUCGGCUCAUCGUGAGUUGAUCCCACCAUAUUAUGGCGUAUUCGGAGAAUUCUAUAGCAGCUAACUUUACCUUCUUGCUUUCCGAGUAAUUGUGGCACUCGAAAACUAACUCCACCUUCUUCUCCCAUUCAAGAUAGGCCUCAGGAUCCGACCUUCCUUGAAAAGUAGGAAUCACCAUUUUAAUGUUUUUUAAAUCAUCAUCGGUCCUCUCUCGAUCUCUUGGUCCCCGUGCUCGUUGGCCUUGUCGCCUUGCACUUUGUCGCGAAGCUCGAUCACUUUCAACAUCACUUGCUUCAUAUAGAUCAUUUGCAUGUUGCCAUGGACGUUCUCGCUCUCUUCUCGGAAUAGGAGGGGUGUUCGCACGUUGGCUUCGUUCCUCCAUUUGUUCCAUUCGUUCAUAAAGGGAAUCAAAUUGAGGUUGGAACAAACGAGAAAUUUCUCGCACGAUUUCUUGAACUUGUAGAUCGGGCACUCCGCCUCCGGGAACGUUUCUCCUUGGUUGAAGAUUAACUUCUCCACCAGCGGCAUUCGAGGCUCCUCCACUUGUUGCUCGUCGUUCCGGGCUCCUUGACAUGAUGAUUAAAAUUAAGAAAAUAUCCUCACCAAAAAAAAAACCUCACAAUUCACUCACAAGAAAAGAAUUCACUCCUCUCGUGUUUCACUCUAUUUUCGGCUUUUAUCUUGAUGUACUCUCUUGCCUUUUACCUCUCAAAUCCAACUCUCGAUAUUCUGAAAAGCUACUUAGAUUUAUCCACACUUGUGGGUCGGCUUCAAGGGGUUUGCAAGGGAAAGUCGUAGGGUUUAGGGUAGGCUCGAAAGAAAAAAAGGCUUAAGAUGUGGCGUAUAAAAUGGAUUCACUAAUUGGGAAUUUUUUUUUAAUAGCGUGAAUUUUUUUUUUACGGAUCUUUCACGUUCUUUUUGUCCGCACCUAGACCGUAUGCAAUUUUUUUUUCAAAUUUUUUUUUCAAUUUUUUUCGAUUUUUUUUCGAUUUUUUUUGAAUCUACAAUUUACGUACCUAAAUUAACCAGCUCUGAUACCAACUGAUACGAGCUCGUUUCGUAUGAAAUAACGAGUCGUAAUAUUUCCCGAUCGAAAUUAGGUAGUGUCGGCCUUGAAAUAAAUUCAAGUCUUGGUGUUUAAAAUUAAAUGGCUUUGGAAAACGAGGGAGUUUGAUGGAGUGUUGUUUGCUGGAUAUUUCAAUAAAAACAAGUCGAACCCUUAUUAGCAAAUAAGGACCCGGGGCUUAAGGUUUCAAAGAAAGAAAGGAUUUUGGGAUAAAAUCGAGACCCUCUAUUUAGCAAAAUAGGAACCUAUGGUAUGAAGAACGCCACACCAAUGGUGAUAAGUUCGAAACAAAGUCAGAUUGACGCCACUUGUUGAAGAUAAGUCAAUUAGAGCUUUGGAUAAUAAAGAGAGUGAAUUGCCUCACUAAAAUGAUAUUUCUUUCAGAAAUUUGUCAAAAGUCCUUUUACAAGAAAAUGAGUAACUAUUUAUAGCCUAAUGCCUAAUAGCCGAAUGGACAUAUUCUAGACUUAGUUUCUAAGCAAACAUUGAACAAAAAUGGCCAAUGUAGGUUCGGCUGAAUGGUGACCAUACAUGAAGCUUCCAUAUUAAGCAAAUGAAUCUUGGGAAUGCAUGUAGCAGCUACAUUCAGCUGAUGAGCUUAAUUGAUCAUUCAAUAGGCAACUCUUGCUGAAAAAUUAUCAAUAAUAAAGAGGGCACUUGAACAGCCACAUUAGGUGUGAAUGGACGGUUUUGAAGAGCCUUAAAAUGUGAACACCAAGAACCGAAUGGCCAAAAUGUAUCCAGCAAUGUGAAGGAAAUAAUGGCAGCUUGAAAAACUAUCUCUUUAGCCGAAUGGUCACUUAGAGAACUUCAAUAAUCAGCACACCAUUUUUAAUGUAGUUCAUGCAAGUAUCAUUAGGUGCAUUGAAUCCAACAUGCAUGCAUCUUGCACACCACAUUCGGCCAACCUUUCCCAUGCAUCUUCCACAUUCGGCUGAACCUAAAUAAAACAAAUGAACCUCAUUAAUUUAACUCAAUUCAGCUGAACAUAAUAUGAACAUAUUAAUUAACAUUAAGCCGAAUUAAAUAUGUACUAAACAAGACACAUUAAUUCGGCUGAACAUAGUUAAUUCAUGUAAUAUAUUCAAACAAAUUAAAUGACAUCUAGACACCUUUAAUUCAACCAAAUCAACAUAUUAAACAGUUGUAAUAAAUUAAGACAUAUUUAAAAGCUGUAAUGAAACUUAUUUAAAUGCUUAUUUAAAUGGUCUAAAAUUCCAGCAGCAAAUUAAUUAGCUAGAACGAAUUCAGCUUCAAAGAAGUUGAAUAUGUUCAGCUCAUUUUUAAACUCCUUGCUAUCAUUUUCCUCAACCCGUUCCACCAUUGCUAAAAUAGCAUCUUUGAAUCGUCUAGCUCUAGCUCGCGUUAUUGGACCAAUGGGCAGCUUAAUGGCUUCUUGUUCGUUCUCCAUUUGGUUCGUAGGCAAGCUCACAUCAGGGUUCGACUUGUUUUCAUUGAAAUAUCCAGCAAACAACACUCCAUCAAACUCCCUUGUUUCCCAAAGCCAUUUAAUUUUAAACACCAAGACUUGAAUUUAUUUCAAGGCCGACACUACCUAAUUUCGAUCGGGAAAUAUUACGACUCGUUAUUUCAUACGAAACGAGCUCGUAUCACUUGAAAUCCCGAAAGAUUUCACAAAUCUCUUCAAACGGCUCUAAUAUCCCCUCCAAAGAAUAUCGAUGGCAAGAAGAAGGUUGAAGAUGGCUCCCACAAUCAAAAGAUUGUUAAAAAAACUUCUAAAGAAAACUCAAGAGAGAAUUCUUGGAGAAAACCCCAAAGAAAAUUCUGCACUCAAUAAAUCUGAAAUUUGAUAGAAAAAAUAAUAAUAAGAUGUUUACAAAGGGUGGCUGGCCAAUGCUUAUAUAGGCCUCCAACAAAUCCUAAUCUAAUUAGAAAACUUAAAAAAUUUAAACUUAAUUAAAAAAACAAAGGAAAAUUCGGCCAUGCAUCCUAUUGGGCUGUUUUGGGCCGAAUUUAACAUGUGAUAUUCCUAAAACUUAAAAAUUAACUUAAACAACUAAAAUGUUUACAAAUUGGGCCCUUUGACAUUUUGGCCUGAUUUUCAACUGAAUAUGUAUGGAUUUCUUGAUUGGGCUGGAAUUUGGUUAUUGGGCCUCGCCUUCAAGAAUUUGGGCUCGUGAUCCAUCUCCUUCCGAAAUGGGGUCGUUGAUGCUCGUAAUGGAGAUCCAAUGCGUGUUGGCUGCAAGAUUUGGUUUCUUGGACCAAGAUUUCCAAGAUUUGAAAUCUUGAUUUUCUUGAUUCUUGAAAUCUCUUCGAACAGCAUAAUUGGGCCAAGAUUCGGUUUCUUGAUUUUCUUGAAAACAAGAAAGUGAAUCUUGAUUUUCUUGUUCUCUCGUGUAUGCAUCUAAGGCCUUGCUAACAAACUUUUGAUUGGUCCCAUUUAGUUUGGACCGCAUUUGUCGGGCCUUUGAUCUCGUUAUUGGGCCUUGUGAAAAUUUGAGCCCAUCACUUUCUUGAACUUGGGUUGGGCCUUUAUGACUCGUAUCACACUCUCUCUUAGUUUCAAUUGAUCUUCAUAAACUUGCCUCGGCGUCAUGGGAACCAAAGUUACAUUUUUCCCAUUGUAUUUAAAGGUGUAGCAGUUUGUGAAACCAUCAUGAAUGACUUUGCGAUCAAAUUGCCAUGGACGACCCAAUAACAUAUGACCAGCGUGCAUGGGUACUGCGUCGCAUAGAACUUCAUCAGAAUAUUUUCCGAUAGUGAACGGCACCAAAACUUGCUUAGUUACCUUCAACUCCCCUCCAUCGUUAAGCCAUUGAAGUUUGUAAGGUUGAGGGUGCUUAGUUGUUGGCAAGCCGAGUUUUUCAACCAUUAAAGUGCUGGCCACAUUUGUACAACUUCCGCCAUCCACGAUCAAGCUACACACCUUGCCUUGCACAUGGCAACGUGUAUGAAAAAUGUUCUCCCUUUGUUGUUCAUUUUCAACACUUUGAAGACUAAGGCUUCAUUUAAUAACGAGAAUUUCGCCAUCAACGGCGUAUUCAAGUUCAUCCUCUUCCUCCUUUUCGGCCAUUUCAUCAGGUUCUUCAUCAUCUUCUUCUUCCGAUUCAAUUUCUCCAUUAGCCCGCAUAAUCAUGUUGGUUCGGUUAGGGCAUUGACUCGCAAUGUGGCCCCUCCCUAAGCACUUAAAACACUUUAUUUCUCGUGAUCGAUUCGGUAUAGAAACUUCUUUGCCUUUGCUUGUUUCACCAACAGGUUUACUCACCUUAGAAGACAAAGGGUGAUCUUUAGUGCGAUUAGAGAAGUCUUUCUUACUCGUGCCUUGGUUCCACCUUUGAGGAUUGUUGGUGCUAGGAAAGGUUCGGCUAGAACUUUUUCUUUUCAAUUGCUUUUCAACUUUGAUAGCAACAUGCACCAUAUCAACAAUGUCAACGUAGUGUUGAAGCUCCACUACAUUGGCUAUGUCACGAUUAAGUCCGGCUAAGAAUCGAGCCAUGGUUGCUUCGCGAUCUUCUUCCACGUUCGCACGUAUCAUGGUAAUCUCCAUUUCUUUGAAGUAGUCCUCCACACUUCGAUUUCCUUGCGUAAGAUUCUGCAACUUUUGAUAAAGUUCACGAUAAUAGUAAGAAGGUAUAAAUCUCCUACGCAUUAUGGCUUUCAUUUCGGCCCAAGAUGAGAUUGGCCGCUCCCCGUUCCUUCUUCGACUUGUUGUGAGUUGAUCCCACCAUAUCAUUGCGUAAUCAGAGAACUCGAGUGCUGCCAAUUUCACUUUUUUGCUCUCCGAGUAGUUGUGACACUCGAAGACCAUCUCGAUUUUUCUCUCCCAUUCUAGAUAAGCUUUCGGAUCAGAUUUCCCAUGAAAGGGAGGAAUGGAUAGCUUAAUACUUUUUAAAUCAUCAUCAAAUUGGCCUCGAUCUCUAGGACCCCUAUUCCUUUGACCUCGUCGUCUCUCACUUUGAUUCGACGCUUGGUCACUUUCCACCUCGCUUGGCUCGUAGGGAUCAUCCACGAAAGGUCUUGCUCGCCCUCGCUCCCUUCUCAGUCCUUGAGGGGUUCCUUCUCGUGUUGGUCCUCCUUCCACUCGAUCGAGCCUCUCACUAAUAGAUUCAAGUUCAGUUUGAAGCAUUCAUUGGAAUUCCCUUAAGAGGGCUUGUUGACCUAAAUCGGGAACUCCUCCUCCAACAUUUCUUAUCGGUUGUCUUUCGGUCCUUUCCGCCAUGUUUUGCUCGGGAUUUUGAGACAUAAUAAAGUUUCCUCACCACAAAGACUCACGUUCACUCAGAAAAGAAAGAAAGAACGACACUCACGCUCGUGUUUGCACUCUUUUGGCUUUUACCUCCUCUCGAAUAUGCUCCCACACUCGUGCCUUUUUCCUCUCGUUUCUUCUCUUAUAAUUUCGUAUAAGACUCGGUAGGGCUCGAUCUUUAGUUUAGAGGGUCGGCUUCAAGGGGUUUGCAAGGGAAAGUCGUAUGGUUUAGGGUAGGCUCGAAUGAAAGAAAGGUUUAAAGAUGUGGCGUAUAAAAUGAAUUCACUAAUUGGGAUUUUUUUUAAUAGCGUGAAAAUUCACUAAAAUAGGUAUAAAGGAGUGUAGAAUGUGAUUUUAGAAAAAUUUUUGUUGAAGUGUCUCCAGACUCUUUUUUUUACGGAUCUUUCACGUUCUUUUCGUCCGCACCUAGACCGUUUACAAUUUUUUUUCUUUUCAAUUUUUUUUUGAUUUUUUUUCAAAAAUCUACUUACUCUGGCUCUUCUCAAACGUCUGAACUCCUUGUUUUAGUAGCUCUGAUACCAAAUGAUGGAACCCCGGCCUCGUUGAUGAAUUCGAGUCGUUUUUGUUGCCCAAUCGUCCUAACGAUGAAGUUUCGUUCGUCUUGAUUCAAAGCGUUAUAUUUGUUCAAUGAAGGUGUUUAUGGUUCAUUUAAGGUUAAAAGGAAAUGGUUGGUAAGGUAUUUCGGCUAAGAAAGAAAGAAAACAAAUAUUAAAGGUAUGUAAAUUUUCGGUUUAAGGUGAAAUGGAAAGAAAAGCUUAAAAACAAGAAUGAACCAACACUAAGGAAAAUGUUGACCCGAAUCUUAUAUGUCUUUAAGGUGAAUGAAAAUGGAUGUAAAAGGACCUCGACCCACUAUCUAUCAAAGAUAGGAACCUCGGUAUCAAAUGAACGCCACACUUUGGGUGAAAGUGAUAAGUCCGGGAUGCAAAGAACAAAGGUUGACGCCACUAACUAGUAGAUAAGCCAACUAAGUCUUUGGACGAAAUUGAGAGAAGAAUUCCUCACAAAAUACUUAAUUCAAUAAUCAAAAUGGCAAAAGUCCUUUUACAAAUAAACAAGCAAAUAUUUAUAGUUCUUCAAAGGCUAGCCGAAUAGACAAACUUAAAAGCUAAGAAAAAUAAAGAAAAUUCCAGAAUUAAUUCCUAAAAAAAAAUUCGACUGAAUGGGCAUUCAAAUGGGCAGCUUAAACAUGAAGCAAAUGCACCUUGCAAAGAUGAAUGCAUCGGUAGAUCAAAUGGUCUUGUCCAGGUUCGGCCUUACUUUUAAAUUACUCCUUAAAUUGGCACUUGUUGGCUGAAAAGAUAGGAACAUUAAAGAUAGUUGUUGAACAGCCACACAAGUGUGAAAAGUCGGUUUUGAAGAGUCAAAUAUGUGUGAACAUCAUCAGCUGAAUAGUCCCCCAUGUGAACACUUAAAAUAAGCUGAAUGUAGAUGUUUAAAAAUGGAACAUUCGGCUGAACAUUCAUUUGGGUAGCCAUGCAUGAAUCGGCCAAAUGCAAUGAAUCUAAGAUGCAUGCACCUUUGCCGUCCAAGGUAAAUUCCUGCACCAAAUUAAAACAGCAAAUUAAUCAUGUAUAAAACAAAUUAAAUUCGGCAACAAAUACUUGUAAAAAUCUGCACCUUUAAUCAUGUAUUAGUUUAGGACAUAUUUAAAACACUUGAACUAAUUAGGACAUAAUUAAAACACCUAAACUAAUUAGGACAUAUUUAAUAAUAUCUAAUUAUUAUUUGACCAGAAUUAAUAACUUAGAUACUUGGACUUAUGACAAAUUAAAUAACUAUUGCAGCAAAAUAAAUAUAUAGUCAAAUAAGUCUAAGAUGAGACGAAUGAACUAAAACAAGCUCAUUGAGCUUGAAGAGCUUUAAGUAGAGUGCACGAUUUGCUCAUCUUGCUGGUCCAUGAGCCCUCAAGUAGACCGGCCACGGAUUCACCCCAAAUCUGAUCAACCAAAGCUGAAAUUCCAUCUUUGAACUUCUUAGCCCUAGCUCGGGUAAUAGGUCCUUUAAGCAGCUCCAGGGAGACAUCGUUUGCACUUGAUAGCUCAUGGGGCUCGAUUGCAUCAAGGGAGGGAAUAUUACCUUAAUUCAUCACAUUGAAUGUAUAAUGUGCAUGUACAAAGGGAAGAACGAAUUUACAAAAGGUACAUGCUACCUUUCAUGAACCAGCUCAUCAUCAAUGCUUCAAUUAAGGUCUUGGCUGAACUUAGACAAUAUACUUUUGAACCUUAUAUGAAAUCUGAUUACUUUGUGAGUUUGUUUUCAACUCUCAUUGUUCUCCAACGACUCGUCUGACUUAUCAAUUAACCCUUGUGGCGUUAACCCGUCUUUCUUUUCUGAACUUAUCACUUUGCACCCAAAGUGUGGCGUUCAAAUUAUACCGAGGUUCCUAUCAUCUUUGAUAGCGGGUCGAGGUUCCAUUUUAUUCGUUCUCCAUCCAUACAACAUUUAACCUACCUAAGUAUUCCUAUAAGUCCCGGGUUAACACACUUAUAUUGUGUUGGUUCAACUUGAAUACUUGGUUUUCGUUCACCUAUCAACCUCAAUCCAUUCCAUAAUCUCUUUUGAACUAAAUUUGAGCCUUUAUCUCUUCUUUCUUAACCUAUCUUCGACAAACUUAAUAUUACUUGAUAUGGGGUUGCGCGCGGACCAAGAUCGAGUUGCCAAGUCACGAGAAACUCCUAUGAAAGCUCUAGAUGAAUCAAAUCUGAAUUCAAAACAAAGAACAAGAUUAAAAGAAAAUCAGAAUUGAAUUGAAAUUCCCCAAAUUCAAUUAAAAGAGCAGCAAGAAACAAAGAAAUAGAAAAAAACGAAUCAAACGGAAUUGAAAGUAUAGAAAGGAUGCGAUUCUGCCAAGGGAUUGAUUCGGCUAAGAAUGCCUAAUUUCCAGCAAUCAAUUGAUCCCCAAAUUGAAAGAGAUCCAAUCGGCCAAACCCUAGGAAUUGGGGAUUUUUGAGAACGACUCUUUGCUGCCAAUUAAUGAUGAUUUAAUUCGAUUCUUUGAGUUGAAUAUGACUGGAAAAACAAAAGAAGACAGCAAACAAAUGAGAUAAAGAAUCGGCACAAGUAGGAAUAAAGAAAUAAAAACGAAACAGCAAGAAAUAAAGAAAAGAAAUUGAACAGCAAGAAUAAAAGAUAAGUCCUAAAGAUCCUUGAAAUCCCGAAAGAUCUCACAAAUCUCUUCAAACGGCUCUAAUCUCCCCUCCAAAUAAUAUCGAUGGCAAGAAGAAGGUUGAAGAUGGCUCCCACAAUCCAAAGAUUGUUAAAACAACUUCUAAAGAAAACUCAAGAGAGAAAUCUUGGAGAAAACUCAAAGAAAAUUCUGCUCUCUCAAAUCUGAAAUUUAAGAAUGAAUCUAAGUGUUAUAUGUACAAGGAGUGGCCGGCCAUGCCUUUAAAUAGGCCUAAAGUAAUCCUAAUCUAACAAGUAACUAAUAAAAUUAAACCUAAUUAAUAGAAUAAAUAAAGGAAAAUUCAGCCAAGCAUAUAUAUGGGCUAUUUUUGGGCCGAAUUUUAGAUGUAUGUUCCUAAAGCUUAAAAAAAUUAAAUUAAACAAUUAAAAUGUUUAUAAAUUGGGCCCUUUGACAUUUUGGCCUGAUUUUCAACUAAGUAUGAAGGAAUUUCUUGAUUGGGCUGGAAUUUGGUUAUUGGGCCUCGCCUUCAAGAAUUUGGGCUCGUGAUCCAUCUCCUUCCGAAAUUGGGUCGUUGAUGCUCGUAACAGAGAUCCAAUACGUGUUGGCUGCAAGAUUUGGUUUCUUGGACCAAGAUUUCCAAGAUUUGAAAUUUUGAUUUUCUUGAUUCUUGAAAUCUCUUCGAACAGCAUAAUUGGCCCAAGAUUCGGUUUCUUGAUUUUCUUGAAAACAAGAAAGUGAAUCUUGAUUUUCUUGAUUUGAGCCCAUCACCUUCUUGAGCUUGGGUUGGGCCUUUGUGACUCGUAUCAUUACUCUAAUUCACGAUCGGGCACAUCAACGACUCGACUCUCAUCACCGAGGCCGGGGCGUAUCAAUUCUUGGAGAAAAACUCAAAGAGAAUUUUGCACUUAAACAAAUCUGAAAUUUUUGAUAUAUUUGAGAAGUUAAUAACAAGGUGGCAGGCCAAGCUUUAUAUAGGCCACUCAAGUGUUUUCCUAAUCUAAUUAGAAAACUAAAAAUAAAAAACUCCUAAUUACUUUAAUAUUUAAAUGGAAAUUUGGCCAAGGGCUUUUAAUUGGGCCUCUUGGACUGAAUAUUUACAUAAAAAUUUAACUAAGUAUUAAAAAAUAAAACUUUACAAAUUGGGCCACUUUGACAAUUUGGCCUGAUUUUCAAUUAAGUAUGGGUGGGCUUCUUGAUUUGAGCCCAUCACCUUCUUGAGCUUGGGUUGGGCCUUUGUGACUCGUAUCAAUCUUAUUGGGCCUUUUCUUCAAGAACUUGGGCUUGUAAUCCAAGAUUUCCAAGAUUUCCAAGAUUUGAAAUCUUGGUUUUCUUCAUUCUUGAAAUUGCUCAAAAUAGCAAAAUUGGACCAAGAUUCGGUUUCUUGAUUUUCUUGAAAACAGGAAAGUGAAUCUUAAUUUUUCUUUUUCCUUCGUAUAUGCAUCUAAGGCCUCCGUGACUCGUAUCAGUUUAGAACUCAACCAAGAACACCCAAAAUCUGAUACCAAAUGAUAGAGGGUCGCGCACGAACCAAGGUCGAGUUGUCAAGUCACGGAAAACUCCUACAAAGACUCUAAACAUUUGGAUCUGAAAUGAAACAAUAAAACUUAAUUAGAAUCAAUUAGAUCUGGAAACUAAAAAUCCCCAAAUCAAUAAAGAACAGCCCAGAAUCAAAACACUUAUGAAUGGAUGUUCUUGGAAGCCAAGAACACGAAAAUAAGCCCCAACUUCAAUCAGCCGACACUAUCAAAGAACACAAAACAACAACUAAAUUAAAAAUAGAUUGCGAAAUCAAUGGACACUAGUUCUAGGGAUUGGACGGUAAGAAAAGGGGAAUUUUUGUGAAUCAAAAACGUUUCUUUAUGUCCAAGGAAGUGUCAAAUCAGAUCUUGAAGUUUGGAAUGGCUGAAAUGAAACAACAACAAUUAAUCUGAUACGGGGUUACGCGCGGACCAAGAUCAAGUUGCCAAGUCACGAGAAACUCCUACGAAAGAUCCUAGACGAACAUAUCUGAAAUCCAAAAACAAAGAUUAAGAUUAAACCGAAUCAGAUUUGAAUUUAAAUCCCCAAAUUCAAUUAAAGGAGCAGCAAGAAACAAAGAAAUAGAAUAGAUGAAUCAAACGAAAUUGGAAGUAUAGAAAGAUUGCGAAUUGGUCAACAAAUUGAUUGGGCCAAGAAUGCCCAAUUUUCAGCAAUCAAUUGAUUCCCAAAUUGAAAGAAAUCCAAUCGGCCAAACCCUAGGAAUUGGGGAUUUUUGGGGUCGAAUGGGUGCUGCCAAUAGGAGAACAACUUAAACGAUGAAAUCUUGAGUUUAAUCAAUGCUGGAAAACAAACAAGAACAGCAAAAUAUUAGAUGAGAAAUCGGCACAAGUAUAAGCAAAGAAAAGUAAAGAAAGAAAUCGAAAACAGCAAGAAUUAAAGGAUAAGUCCUAAAGAUCCUUGAAAUCCUGAAAGAUUUCACAAAUCUCUUCAAACGGCUCUAAUCUCCCCUCCAAAGAAUAUCGAUGGCAAGAAGAAGGUUGAAGAUGGCUCCCACAAUCAAAAGAUUGUUAAAACAACUUCUAAAGAAAACUCAAGAGAGAAUUCUUAGAGAAAACCCCAAAGAAAAUUCUGCACUCAACAAAUCUAAAAUUUGAUAGAAAAAAUAAUAAUAAGAUGUUUACAAAGGGUGGCUGGCCAAUGCUUAUAUAGGCCUCCAACAAAUCCUAAUCUAAUUAGAAAACUUAAAAAAUUUAAACUUAAUUAAAAAAAACAAAGGAAAAUUCAGCCAUGCAUCCUAUUGGGCUGUUUUGGGCCGAAUUUAACAUGUGAUAUUCCUAAAACUUAAAAAUUAACUUAAACAACUAAAAUGUUUACAAAUUGGGCCCUUUGACAUUUUGGCCUGAUUUUCAACUAAAUAUGUAUGGUGAUAUGAGGUUGCGCGCGGACCAAGAUCGAGUUGCCAAGUCACGAGAAACUCCUAUGAAAGCUCUGGACGAAUCAGAUCUGAAAUCGAAACAAAGAACAAGAUUAAAAACAAAUCUGAAUUGAAUUGAAAUUCCCCAAAUUCAAUUAAAAGAGCAGCAAGAAACAAAGAAAUAGAAUAAGCGAAUCAAAUGGAAUUGAAAGUAUGGAAAGGAUGCGAAUCUGCCAAGGGAUUGAUUCGGCCAAGAAUGCCUAAUUUCCAGCAAUCAAUUGAUUCCCAAAUUGAAAGAACGGCCAAACCCUAGAAAUUGGGGAUUUUUGGGUUCGAAUGGGUGCUGCCAAUAGGAGAACAACUUAAACGAUGAGAUCUUGAGUUUAAUCAAUGCUGGAAAACAAACAAGAAUAUCAUAUGGAUUUCUUGAUUGGGCUGGGAAUUUGCUUAUUGGGCCUUGCCUUUAAGAAUUUGGGCUUGUGAUCCAUCUCCUACCGAAAUUGGGUCGUUGAUGCUCGUAAUGGAGAUCCAACGCGCUUUGGCUACAAGAUUUGGUUUCUUGGACCAAGAUUUCCAAGAUUUGAAAUCUUGAUUUUCUUGAUUCUUGAAAUCGCUCCGAACAGCAAAAUUGGGCCAAGAUUCGAUUUCUUGAUUUUCUUGAAAACAAGAAAGUGAAUCUUGAUUUUCUUGAUUUGAGCCCAUCACCUUCUUAAGCUUGGGUUGGGCCUUUGUGACUCGUAUCAUAUGGAUUUCUUGAUUGGGCUAGGAAUUUGCUUAUUGGGCCUCGCCUUUAAGAAUUUGGGCUUGUGAUCCAUCUCCUACCGAAAUUGGGUCGUUGACACUCGUAAUGGAGAUCCAACGCGCUUUGGCUGCAAGAUUCGGUUUCUUGGACCAAGAUUUCCAAGAUUUGAAAUCUUGAUUUUCUUGAUUCUUGAAAACACUCCGAACAGCAAAAUUGGGCCAAGAUUUGAUUUCUUGAUUUUCUUGAAAACAAGAAAGUGAAUCUUUAUUUUCUUGAUUUGAGCCCAUCACCUUCUUAAGCUUGGGUUGGGCCUUUGUGACUCGUAUCUUCCUCAAAAAGAUUCGUCCUCGAAUCUAAAAAAAUCAAAUGAACUCGACUUUCCUCGGUCGAACGGGACUAAUAGCAAUCGAGUCCACUGAAAAGAAUAGUCAUGAAAUAGUAAAUAGCAACGCAAACAAGCUUGUAGUCCAAUUAUAAGCAUAAUGGAACAGGUAUAACGCAUGUGAAUGGACAGAUUCAGAUUACCAUGCCUUAAUCGACGGUCUAUAGAUUCACUCACACAUGCAUUAUCAAAAACAAGAAUCUUUUUAUCAACCAUCAAAAUAGAUUUAUCAUCAAUAUAUAAAAUAGGACAGUCAAGCACGUUUCGAUCUAAGUGUUCAUCAACACGAUCUUUGUCGCUAUCCGAGGAGUACAAAAGUGUUUCAAAGGUUUCAAGCAUCUUACCUUGAUAAGCAAAAGAAUAAGGGUCGAUUUUACCUUUUUCAUUUAAAACAAACCUUCGUUCAUCAAGGGCAUAGUGUAGUCGAAUCUCCGUUGUUGAGUUAACCUUUGUCAAAUGGAACUCAAACUUCAUGUACAACCACAUAAACUGUUUAAGGCACGAAUAUAAAUUGAAAAGAAAUUUGGAAAAUUUCGUUACCUUAUUCUCCAAAAUAGAUUUGGACAAAUUCGAGGAUUUUACACAAGGUAAAUCAAGAGAAUAACAAAUCACGCUUCUUUUCGUAAUGACUUUAUCAACCACAAUCGAAGAGUAACAAUUAAUCGGAUCAAAAUGAGGGGAUCUUUUAAGAACUAAGUCACCAAAAGUUUUAUCAAUAAUUUUCAAAUCUGCACUGGACUCGGUUUCUAAAAUUUCCUUACCUCGCUUACCUUCGGGAUCAUGUAGUGUGAUUUCAUCUUUGCCUAAGUUGAUCGUAUGAAAGCGUCUUUCAUUUGAGAGGUAUUGAAGUUGAAAGUUAUCUUUCAAUCUUUCGGGAACCUGAAAAGUAGCAACACAAGAAAAAUUCAUAUCUUGGUUAGUGGAAACAUUCCUCACUACCCUUUCCAUGUCUUUUUCUUUUGUUUCUUUUUCUAAUUCAUUUUCUCUUCUUUCUUCAAUUUCUUUUUCACUCUCAAUCUCUUUUUGCUCUUUUUCAUUCUCUUUUUCUUUUUCCUCACUUGUUUUAACAGAAAUUUUCAGUUUGAUUUGGUCCUCAUGGACUUGUUCCGGAGUGAGCGGCACAAAGGUGAGUUUCUUUCCUUGAUGCUUGAAAGAAUACCUAUUGGUACGACCAUCGUGAGUGACUUUUCGAUCCAGUUGCCAUGGUUCUCCUAGCAACAAAUGGCAGGCUUGAAUAGGCAUUACGUCGCACACAACUUCGUCUUGAUACUUACCGAUAGAAAAGGCGAUGCACACUUGUUGAGUGACCCUAAAUUGGCCUUCGUUGCUAAGCCCUUGUAGUUGAUAAGGUUGUGGAUGUUUGGUAGUGGUUAAGCAAAGCUUUUCCACCAUCGUCGUGCUGGCUAUGUUCGAGCAACUUUCACCAUCAAUAAUAACUCUACAAAGCUUACCUUGUACAUGGCAGCGAGUAUGAAAGAGAUGUUCUCGUUGCUGCUCGCUCUUUGGUUUUGCCAAAGAUGAUUGUCCACGAUCAUGAAAAUCAUCAUCCAUUCUAGGGACACGUUGAGGGCUGCACCUGUAGGGCUGGUUAUCCCUAUCUUCCUUAAUUGGAUCUCGAUAUUGAUGUUUUUGAUUCACUCGUACCUCAUUCAAAGUAGUAUUCAAUGCUUGAAGUGUAGCAUUUAUUUGUGUGAUUGCAGCAGUAUGUCCGUCUAACUGUUGUUGGACUUUCAUAAGUGCAUCAUUAUUAUCACCUUUAGACUUCUUCAAAACCUGUAAAAAAUAAACACUCAACACUCAAAAAUAAAAGUUAGCAAACCUCACCAUUAAUCACUCAAAAAGAAAAAUCAAAUUCUCAAUGAGGUCGAAUUCAAUCUUGUGAGUUCUUUAUCAGAGUUUAUAUCAACCAAUUAGAGAGUGUGAACCAAACUACCAAAGAAUCCUAAUUUGCACUAGGAUGCCAAAAACUGACGAGACACCAAGUGAUUCGUGUUGCACCGAGGAAGGAGUUGUGCACACGUGUAAAUCCUACUAACACAAGAAACAAGAAGGUGUUAGAUAACGUAACGGAAUAAUAAAAGCAAACAAAUGAAAACCUACAGCUAAGAAUCAAUAAAAAUUGCUGAAAACAGAAAACCUGAAAAACUGCGGAGUAACUUGACAACUUCGUUCGAGGUGUUCUCGAUCUCUAAAAAUCACGAAAUUAAAUCUGGAAUGUCCUUAAAUAUUUAAUUUUUGAUCUGGAAAUUUUGGGCACCAAAUUCAAGUCGCUGAAUCUUUUUUUAAAUUUUUAUUGAAUUUCAUAUUUUUUUAGUUUUUUGACUUUUUUGACUGAUUUGUUUGUGGGAAUAAUUUUUUUAUAUUCAAUAGGAAUUGGGGAUUUUUGGGUUCGAAUGGGUGCUGCCAAUAGGAGAACAACUUAAACGAUGAGAUCUUGAGUUUAAUCAAUGCUGGAAAACAAACAAGAACAGCAAAAUAUUAGAUGAGAAAUUGGCACAAGUAUAAGCAAAGAAAAGUAAAGAAAGAAAUCAAAAACAGCAAGAAUUAAAGGAUAAGUCCUAAAGAUCCUUGAAAUCUUGAAAGAUUUCACAAAUCUUGAUGUCGGCUUGUGAUACGGGGUUGCGCGCGGACCAAGAUCGAGUUGCCAAGUCACGGGAAACUCCUACGAAAACCCUAAACAAUUAGAUCUGAAACGAAACAGAAAAUUAAAAGAUUAGAUUUUUGAAUUUUCAGAUCUGAAAUAAAAUCCCCAAAACAGUAAAGAAUCAAAUAGAGAAUAGAAAUAAGUGUUAGGGUUCUUGAAACCCUCAAGGAGAUUGUGAUUCUGCCCAAUUGAACACCAAGAUAGUUUUCCCCAAAUUUCGACAAUCUAAUUUCACCCAAAAAGAGUAUAGAAAAACCCUAGAAAUUGGGGAUUUUUGGGCUGAUUCCUUAAGAUAGAAAAAGGCUGAAAACACAAUAAGAACAGAAAAUAGAUUAGAUAAUGAUUCAGCCCAAGUAGAAAUAAAGAAAGAAUUGACAGUAAGAAAUUAAAAGAUAAGUCCUAAGAAGCCUUGAAAUCUCGAAAGAUCUCACAACUCCCUUCAAACGGCUCUAAUCUCCCCUCCAAAGAAUAUCAAUGGCAAGAAGAAGGUUGAAGAUGGCUCCCACAAUCAAAAAGAUUGUUAAAACAACUUCUAAAGAAAACUCAAGAGAGAAAUCUUGGAGAAAACUCAAAGAAAAUUCUGCUCUCAACAAAUCUGAAAAUUUUAAUAAUAAUGAUAAGUGUUUAACAAGGUGGACAGCCAUGCCUUUAAAUAGGCCUUAUAACUAGUCCUAAUCUAAUUAGAAAACUAAAAUAAAAAAAACUCCUAAUUAUUUUAAUAUGGAAAUUCGGUCAAAGGUCAUUUUAUCUGGGACUCUUGGACUGAAUAUUGACAUAAAAAUUUAAACUAAGUAAAUAAAUAAAUAAAUAAAUAAAAAUAAAACUUUACAACUUGGGCCACUUUGACAAUUUGGCCUGAUUUUCAACUAAGUAUGGAUGGAUUUCUUGAUUGGGCUGGGAAUUUGCUUAUUGGGCCUCACCUUCAAGAAUUUGGGCUUUUGUGACUCGUAUCAGCUUGCCUACGAACCAAAUGGAGAACGAACAAGAAGCCAUUAAGCUACCCAUUGGUCCAAUAACGCGAGCUAGAGCUAAACGAUUCAAAGAUGCUAUUUUAGCAAUGGUGGAACGGGUUGAGGAAAAUGAUAGCAAUGAGUUUAAAAAUGAGCUGAACAUAUUCAACUUCUUUGAAGCUGAAUUUCGUUCUAGCUAAUUAAUUUGAUGCUGGAAUUUAGACCAUUUAAAUAAACAUUUAAAUAAGUUUCAUUACAGCUUUUAAAUAUGUCUUAAUUAAUUUAAGUGUUUAAUAUGUCUUGAUUUAGUUAAAUUAAAGAUGUCUUGAUGUCAUUUAGUUUGUCUAAAUUAUUACAUGUUUUUAAUUUGUCUAGCCGAAUUUAUGUGUUAUGAUUUGUUAAUAUUUUAGUUGUCUCAAUGUUAUUUAGGAUGUUCACAUUAUAUUUUAAUUUAGUUCAGAUGAAUUUGCUUGAAAUUAAUUAAGUUCAUGUUUAUUUUUAGGUGCAGCCGAAUUUGGAGAUGAAUUGGGAAGAUUCAUGCAUGGAGAUUCAAUGAAUUUGAAGAUGCAUGUGCAGCUGAACUAAUGCAUUAAAAGCUGAUUAAUUUUGGUGUUCUUCAAGGCAACUAUUCGGCCAAGAGUGAUCAAGCUUUCCAUCCUUUCAAGCUUGGCCGAUUCUCUUCCCAAGGGCGUAUAAAAGCUGUUCACACUAUGUCUAUUCGGUUCAGCCAUGUUCACACUUCAAGGCUCUUCAAAACCGUCCAUUCACACUUCUAAAUGGCUGUUCAAGUUGCCAAUUAAUGCUGGUAAUUUUUCAUCAAUAGUUGCUUCAUGGAUGACCUCAUUAAACUCCAUUGGCUGAAUGUAGCUGCUGCCAUUUUUCCAAGUUCAUUGAAAGCUCUUCCUUGGUCUCUAUUCAGUCGAACCUUGAUGCAAGCAUAUACAUGAAUUUAAGCUGAAUUUUUGUUCAAUUUUUGCUUAGAAAUUAAGUCUAGAAUAUGUCCAUUCGGCUACUAGACAUUAGACUAUAAAUAGUUGCUCAAUUUCUUGUAAAAGGACUUUUGACAAAUUUCUGAAUGAAAUAUCAUUUUAGUGAGGCAAUUCACUCUCUUUAUUCUCCAAAGCUCAAAUUGACUUAUCUUCAAUAAGUGGCGUCAAUCUGACUUUGUUUCGAACUUAUCACCAUUGGUGUGGCGUUCUUCAUACCGUAGGUUCCUAUUUUGCUAAAUAGAGGGUCUCGGUUUUAUCCCAAAUCCUUUCUUUCUUUGAAACCUUAAGCCCCGGGUCUUUAUUUGCUAAUAAGGGUUCGACUUGUUUUCAUUGAAAUAUCCAGCAAACAACACUCCAUCAAACUCCCUUGUUUCCCAAAGCCAUUUAAUUUUAAACACCAAGACUUGAAUUUAUUUCAAGGCCGACACUACCUAAUUUUGAUUGGGAAAUAUUACGACUCGUUAUUUCAUACGAAACGAGCUCGUAUCAGUUGGUAUCAGAGCUGGUUAAUUUAGGUACGUAAAUUGUAGUUUUCAAAAAAAAAUCGAAAAGAAAAAAAAUUGAAAAAAAAAAUAUAUUGCAUACGGUCUAGGUGCGGACGAAAAGACGUGAAAGAUCCGUAAAAAAAAGAGUCUUGAAACACUUCAACAAAAAUUUUCCCAAAAUCACUUUCUACACUCCUUUAUAUCCAUCUUUGAUGCAACCUUAGCCCGGGAAAUUACUACCGAAUCCAUUGAGCUGCCACGAGGACCAAUAACUCGAUCACGAGCUAAGAGAUUUCAAAAUGAAAUAGCAAGCUAUGUGGAACGAGCUUGGGAAGAGGGAGUGGCCGAAUUUGAUAGUCGUGCUUCAAACCGUUCAAAAGGCGUUACUUGCAAUUUAUUGCAAGCUGAAUUUGUUUCUUUUAAUUAACUUGUUUUAGUUUAAUAAAUAAGUUGCUGAUCAAUUAAUUUAACUUAUCUUAAAGUUUUAAUACAUGAGUUAGUUAUUGAACUUUAUUAAAUAAGAUGCUUCUUAAUUGAUCUAGUUCCUAGGAUUAUUUAUUGAUGCAUAAAUUAAGUUCUUUAAAUUAUGCUUCUUUAAUUAAACUAGUUGCUGGAAUAAUUAUUGCAUAUAUGUUUUAGUUCAUUUAUUUAAGUAAGUUUAAUAUGUGUUAUGAUUAAUAAGUGUUUUAAUUUGCUUAAUAAACUCAUUUUAAUGUGUUUAUUGCAGGUGACUUUUUAGCUUAUAGUGGUUACAAUUCAAGGCUGUUACACAUUUAAUAAGUGGCUGUUCAAGUUCUUUUGAGUUACAAUUAAAGGGGCUGUUAAAAAAAGGAGCUUAAAGAUCAUUAAAAGGAGUUUUUAAAGAGCAUUUUAUGCCCUUUAAAAUUCAGCAGUAACUCUUCCACUUCCAGCCGUUUUUGGAGCUUUCAAGAGAAAUUAAUCAAACCUUUGAAUGUCAUUAAGUAGCAGGUUAAAAGAUGGUGUCUAUUCAGCUAGCCAAGGACAACUCAAGAGACAUUUUUAAGACAUUAAAGACAUUCAAAUCAGCUGAAUUGAAAUGAUUUUAUGGAAGGAGUUAUUUGGUUCAAAGCAUAAGAAAAGACAUCAGUUUUUAUGGCACAUUAAGUGGAUGUUUUUUUUGACCAUUCGGUUACCUUGUUCUAGCAUUAUAAAUAGUUGUAAUCAGCCUUGGAGUGGGGACUUUUGCUGAAUAUAGAUGUUAUAUUUGAAUUGUGAGCUAUCCAAUUCUCUUUGUUCUUACGGAAUUGAUUUGACUUAUCAAGCAUAGCUUGUGGUGUCCAUCUUUUCUUUGUUUACCGAACUUAUCACCUUUGGUGUGGCAUUCAAUAUACCUUUGGUUCCUAUCAUAGUUGAUAUAAUGGGUCAAGGUUUCUUGCUGUUUCUUUAAACCGUUAAACACCUAAGCACCAUUUUGAGAUUCAGGUCAACAAUUCCCUUAUUUGUUGGUUCAUUCUCGGUCUUAUCCAAUUAACUUGUUAUUAUUUCUUAUCUAUUUUGUUUAUUACCUUUGUUUGAAGCCAUUAUUUCUAUUUUGUUUCCUUUAAACCGAAACGAUUCUAUUCUACUCAAUUCACGAUCGGGCAUCACUAACGACUCGAAUCAAUCACGAAACGAGUUCGUAUCAAAUUGGUAUCAGAGCUAGUGAAUUUGGAGUAAGAAUUGACAUUGUCGGUAAUACGGUAUAGUAGUUUCUUCAAAAAAAUAUUUGAAAAAAAAAUUCAAAAAAAAAAUUGGUUUCCUUUCAAACUCAAGAGAUUGGAUAUCAAGUUGAAAAAAAAAAUUUCGUGAAAAAAAAAAUUUGUGAAAAAAGAAGAAGAAGCUAGUUUUGAAAUUUUGUUGUUGUUUGCUGCCCAAAUUAUAGUUAUUACUACCUUCUACUAUUUCGCCACAUCCAACCUUUUCAUUUCUUGUUUCAAGCCUACUUUCCUUUGUCCUACAAUAUUCUUCCCAAGCCCAAACAUCAAGGUUGUAAGCCAACCCACAACAACUGCUUUUUAAGUUUAAAUAAUUCCUAAGAACUUAGAGAGGAGGAGUGAGUGGAAAGAGGCAAGAGAGUGGUGAGUUUAUUCGAGAGUAUAAAAGCCAAGGAAGUGAGAUUUCUUUGUGAGUGGAUAGUGAGAUUCUUUGUUGUGAGUUCAUUUAAAAAAAAUGUCACAAAGUCUGGAAAGAAAUCAAAAUGUGGAAGGAGGGUUCCGUCCCGUAAGAAAUGUUGGAGGAGGAGUGCCAGAUCUUACCCUUCAAGCAAUUAUGCGAGAGAUGGAGCGAUUAUUUGAUAGAAAACUUGAACCAAUUGAAGAUCGAUUAUAUCGAGUCGAGAGACGAGAACAACGUGAGAUGACUCCGGAAGAUGCAAGAUAAGAGCGAGAACGUCCAAUUCAAGAUCCUUAUGAAGCAAGUGGACAAGAAAGUGAUCACUCAUCUGCCCAAAGUGUACGACGUCGAGGCCGUCAACGGCAACGAGGUCCUAGAGAUCGUGAACGACCAGAUGACAAUCUUAAGAAUAUCAAGAUGACAAUUCUACCAUUCCAAGGUAAGAAUGACCCUGAAGCUUAUUUGGAGUGGGAAAAGAAGAUUGAGCUUGUUUUUGAUUGCCACAACUAUUCGGAGAGUAAAAAGGUGAAACUCGCGGCAAUUGAGUUUUCUGAUUAUGCCAUAGUGUGGUGGGACCAGCUUGUAACUAGUCGACGACGAAAUGGUGAAAGACCCAUCUCUACUUGGGGAGAAAUGAAAUCAGUCAUGCGGAAAAGAUUUAUUCCAUCAUACUACCAUCGAGAUCUUUAUCAACGACUUCAAAACCUUACUCAAGGAAAUAGAAGUGUUGAAGACUAUUAUAAGGAGAUGGAGAUAGCGAUGAUUCGAGCUGAUAUCGAGGAGGAUCGAGAGGCAACCAUGGCUAGGUUCCUUGCGGGUUUAAACCGUGACAUUGCCAACAUAGUUAAACUACAACACUAUGUUGAAGUGAUGGACAUGGUUCACAUGGCGAUUAAGGUUGAAAAGCAACUUAAGCGAAAAGGAGUUAGUAGACCCUAUGCCAAUUCUUCAACCAACAAAUGGAAUCAAAGAGUCAACAAACCCCCUGUUAGAACAAAAGAGCCGACUGUAGUAGUUAAAUCAAAUCAACCCGUUGGAGAGACAAGUCGAAAUAAAAAUGAGCAAGCGCCAAAUCGCACGAGAGACAUAAGAUGUUUCAAGUGUCAAGGCCGAGGGCACAUAGCUAGUCAAUGUCCCAAUCGACGAAUUAUGGUGAUAAGAGCUGAUGGAUAAGUUGAGUCAGAGGAAGAGGAACAAGAAAGUCAAAAAGAAAUUGAGAGUGGUAAAAUGAGCGUAUUUGGGAGAGAAAAAGAGAUAAGAAAAUCAUUGUUGUUGCAUCAACCCGUACUUGUACUUAUGUACAAGGAAUGCUUAUUUGAUGCUAACGAACUUGAUAAUUCUUUACCUUUGUCUAUUGUUUCAUUGCUUCAGGAAUUCAAAGACGUUUUCCCGGAAGAUGUGCCAAGUGGAUUGCCUCCUUUUCGAGGUAUUGAACACCAAAUAGACUUUAUUCCCGGAGCUACAAUUCCAAAUCGACCAGCUUAUCGAAGCAACCCAGAGGAAACUAAAGAGUUGCAACGACAAGUAGCGGAAUUAAUGGAAAAAGGCUAUAUACGGGAGAGUUUAAGUCUAUGUGCGGUUCCUGUUCUGUUGGUGCCUAAAAAAGAUGGUUCAUGGAGGAUGUGCGUAGAUUGCCGAGCUAUCAACAAAAUUACCAUCAAAUACCGACAUCCCAUUCCUAGACUUGAUGAUAUGUUGGACGAGCUUAGUGGUGCAAAAUUGUUCUCUAAGAUUGAUCUGAAAAGUGGCUAUCAUCAAAUUCGUAUGCGGGAGGGGACGAGUGGAAGACUGCAUUUAAGACUAAAUACGAUUUGUAUGAGUGGUUAGUGAUGCCUUUUGGCCUCACCAAUGCACCGAGUACUUUCAUGAGGUUGAUGAACCACGUUUUGAGGUCUUUCAUUGGUCGAUUUUGCGUAGUUUAUUUUGACGAUAUUUUAAUUUACAGCAAAUCAUUAACUGAACAUCUUGAACAUUUGCAUGCUAUUUUGAAGGUUUUACGAAAGGAAGUAUUAUAUGCAAACCUUAAGAAAUGUAACUUUUGUACUGACAAAGUUGUUUUUCUAGGUUUUGUUGUAAGUGCGAAUGAACUAGAGGUUGAUACGAACUCGUCUCGUGAUGUUUUGAGUCGUAUGUGUUGCCCAAUCGUGAAUUGAGUAAGGAUGGAUUCGUUUCGGUUUUAAAAUGAAACAAAAUAAAGAUAAUGGCUUCAAAAAAAGGUAAUAAACAAAAUAAAGUGGAAACAACAACAAAUUAAUUGGCUAAGACCAAAAAUGAACCAACAAUAACGAAUUGUUGACCCGAAUCUCAAAAUGGUCUUUAGGUGUUUUCGGUUAAAGGAAACAGGAAAGGAACCUUGACCCACUAUCAACUGUGAUAGGAACCAAAGGUAUAUUGAACGCCACACCAAAGGUGAUAAGUUCAGCAACAAAGAAAAGAUGGACGCCACAAGCUAUGCUUGAUAAGUCAAAUCAAUUUCGAAAGAACAAAGAGAAUUGGAUAGCUCACAAUUCAAAUAUUUCAUCUAUAUUCAGCAAAAAGUUGUUCCCUCUAUGGCUGAUUACAUCUAUUUAUAAUGUUAGAACAAGGUAACCGAAUGGUCAAAAACAUCCACUUAAUGUGCCAUAAAAAACUGAUGUCUUUUCUUAUUCUUUGAACCAAAUAACUCCUUCCAUAAAAAUCACUUUAAUUCAGCUGAUUUGAAUGUCUUUAAUGGCUUAGAAAAUGACUCUUGAGUUGUCCUUGGCUAGUUGAAUAGACACCAUCUCUUACCAGCUCCUUAAUGACAUUCAAAGGCUUGAUUAAUUUCUCUUAAAAGCUCCAAAAAUGGCUAGAAGUGGAAGAGUUGCUGCUGAAUCUUAAAGGGCAUAAAAUGCUCUUUAAAAACUCUUUUUAAUGAUCUUUAAGCUCCUUUUUUUAACAGCCCCUUUAAUUGUAACUCAAAAGAACUUGAACAGCCACUUAUUAAAUGUGUAACAGCCUUGAAUUGUAACCACUAUAAGCUAAAAAGUCACCUGCAAUAAACACAUUAAAAUGAGUUUAUUAAACACAUUAAAACACUUAUUAAUCAUAACACAUAUUAAACUUACUUAAAUAAAUGAACUAAAACAUAUAUGCAAUAAUUAUUCCAGCAACUAGUUUAAUUAAAGAAGCAUAAUUUAAAGAACUUAAUUUAUGCAUCAAUAAAUAAUCCUAGGAACUAGAUCAAUUAAGAAGCAUCUCAUUUAAUAAAGUUCAAUAACUAACUCAUGUAUUAAAACUUUAAGAUAAGUUAAAUUAAUUGAUCAGCAACUUAUUUAUUAAACUAAAACAAGUUAAUUAAAAGAAACAAAUUCAGCUUGCAAUAAAUUGCAAGUAUCGCCUUUUGAACGGUUUGAAGCACGACUAUCAAAUCUGGCCACUCCCUCUUCCCAAGCUCGUUCCACAUAGCUUGCUAUUGCAUUUCAAAAUCUCUUAGCUCGUGAUCGAGUUAUUGGUCCUCGUGGCAGCUCAAUGGAUUCGGUAGUAAUUUCCCGGGCUAAGGUUGCAUCAUUCCCCCCCUCUUCGAGGCGAUUUGCUCCCAAAUAUGUCACUUACAUCGAAAAGAGAUAAAUCAGCAACAUUAAAAGUAGCACUAACCCCAUACUCACCAGGUAAAUCUAACUUAUAAGCGUUAUCAUUAAUUCUCUCCAAGACUUGAAAAGGUCCAUCUCCUCGUGGUAAUAGUUUGGAUCGCCUUUGAACGGGAAAUCUCUCCUUGCGCAUGUGAAUCCAAACCCAAUCACCAGGUUCAAAUAUUACUCGUUUACGGCCCUUGUUAACUUGAUGUGCAUAUUGCUCCGUUCUUCGUUCAAUAUUAUCCCUAACUCGCUGAUGUAAUUGUUUCACAAAUCUGCCUUUUUCUUUCCAUCUACAUGCACCAAUUUAUCAAAAGGUAAAGGCAAUAAAUCCAAUGGAGUUAAGGGAUUAAAUCCAUACACUACCUCAAAUGGUGAAAACUUGGUAGCUGAAUGUACCGAUCGAUUGUAUGCAAAUUCAAUGUGAGGUAGACACUCCUCCCAAGUUUUUAAAUUCUUACGUAUAAUGGCCCGCAGUAGUGUUGACAGAACUCUAUUAACAACCUCUGUUUGGCCAUCAGUUUGGGGAUGACUUGUUGUGGAAAAUAAUAGCUUAGUUCCAAUCUUUCCCCAUAAAGUCCUCCAAAAGUGGCUGAGAAAUUUAGUGUCUCGAUCCGAAAUAAUGGUUCUUGGAAUUCCAUGCAAUUGUACAAUCUCCCUAAAAAAUAGAUUGGCAACAUUUAAAGCAUCGUCAGUUUUGUUACAUGCAAUGAAAUGAGCCAUUUUUGAAAACCGAUCAACUACAACAAACACAGAAUCUUUGCCAUUCUUUGUUCUAGGAAGACCCAAAACAAAGUCUAUAGAAAUAUCCAUCCAUGGCAUUUCUGGAAUCGGUAAUGGAGUAUAGAGUCCAUGUGGCUAGACCCUUGAUUUCGCCUUCUUGCAAACAAUACAGCGAUUGCACACUUUAGCCACAUCUCGUUUCAUCUUUGGCCAAUAAAAGUGUUCUUGAAGAACGGCCAAAGUUUUGGCAAUACCAAAAUGUCCCAUUAAACCCCCACUAUGUGCUUCAUGAACCAGCAAAUUUCUAGUUGAUCCUUGGGGUAUGCACAACUUAUUUUCUCGAAAUAGGAAUCCAUCUUGCUGAUAGUACCUGUCAUACGCACCUUGCACACAUAACUUGUAAACUUCUCCAAAAUCAGAAUCAUCAGCAUAUAAUUCCUUUAAAUAAGUAAAACCAAGUAACUUAACAUCCAAAUAAUUUAAAAGAGCAUACCUUCGCGAUAAAGCAUCUGCAACGAUAUUUUCCUUACCUUGCUUAUACUUAAUCACAUAUGGAAAGGAUUCUAAGAAUUCUACCCAUUUUGCAUGUCGUUUGUUAAGCUUAGUUUGCCCUCUCAAAUGCUUCAAAGCCUCAUGGUCCGUGUGUAUAACGAACUCCUUAGGCCAAAGGUAAUGAUGCCAUGUUUCUAAUGCACGUAUCAAUGCGUACAUUUCUUUGUCAUAUGUGGGAUAAUUGAGCGUAGCUCCAUUAAGUUUCUCGCUAAAAUAAGCCACCGGUCGCCCAUCUUGCAUUAAAACCGCACCUAUUCCUAUUCCAGAAGCAUCACAUUCUACCUCGAAAAUUUUGUUAAAAUUCGGCAAACAUAAAAGUGGAGCAUUAGUUAAGCAAUCUUUGAUUUUAACAAAAGCAGAUUCUUGUUCAUCAGACCAAAUAAAAGGUGAAUUUUUUUUGAUAAUACCGGUUAAUGGGGCAGCAAGAGUGCUAAAAUUCGAUACAAACCUCCUAUAGAAGCUUGCAAGGCCAUGAAAGCUUCUAACUUGGCUGAUGUUAUUCGGUCGUGGCCAUUCUUGUAUUGCUUUAAUCUUCUCUUGGUCCACCUCUAAUCCAUUCGCACUUACAACAAAACCUAGAAAAACAACUUUGUCAGUACAAAAGUUACAUUUCUUAAGGUUUGCAUACAAUACUUCCUUUCGUAAAACCUUCAAAAUAGCAUGCAAAUGUUCAAGAUGUUCAGUUAAUGAUUUGCUGUAAAUUAAAAUAUCAUCAAAAUAAACUACGCAAAAAUGACCAAUGAAUGACCUCAAAACGUGGUUCAUCAACCUCAUGAAAGUACUCGGUGCAUUGGUGAGGCCAAAAGGCAUCACUAACCACUCAUACAAACCGUAUUUAGUCUUAAACGCAGUCUUCCACUCGUCCCCCUCCCGCAUACGAAUUUGAUGAUACCCACUUUUCAGAUCAAUCUUAGAGAACAAUUUUGCUCCACUAAGCUCGUCUAACAUAUCAUCAAGUCUAGGAAUGGGAUGUCGGUAUUUGACGGUAAUUUUGUUGAUAGCUCGGCAAUCUACGCACAUCCUCCAUGAACCAUCUUUUUUAGGCACCAACAGAACGGGAACCGCACAUGGACUUAAACUCUCCCGUAUAUAGCCUUUUUCCAUUAAUUUCGCCACUUGUUGUUGCAACUCUUUAGUUUCCUCUGGGUUGCUUCGAUAAGCUGGUCGAUUUGGUGUUCAAUACCUCGAAAAGGAGGCAAUCCACUUGGCACAUCUUCCAGGAAAACGUCUUUGAAUUCCUGAAGCAAUGAAACAAUAGACAAAGGUAAAGAAUUAUCAAGUUCGUUAGCAUCAAAUAAGCAUUCCUUGUACAUAAGUACAAGUACGGGUUGAUGCAACAACAAUGAUUUUCUUAUCUCUUUUUCUCUCGCAAAUACGCUCAUUUUACCACUCUCAAUUUCUUUUUGACUUUCUUGUUCCUCUCGUACUUUUACCUCCACUCCCUCAAUUUUUUCUUUCUUUUUUUCAUUUUUCUUGUCUCUCUCUUUUUCAAUCUUUUCCUUCAACUUCAAUUGAUCUUGGUACACUUGCUUUGGAGUCAAUGGCGCUAAAGUUACAUUCUUGCCUCGAUGCUUGAAUGUAUAGCGAUUUGUAUAACCAUCAUAGAUCACGCGCCUAUCAAACUGCCAUGGACGUCCCAAAAGUAGAUGUCCCGCAUGCAUAGGAACUACAUCGCACACCACUUCAUCUUGGUACUUUCCAAUAGAAAAUGCCACCACAGCUUGUUUUGUUACUUUCAGCUCACCUCCAUCAUUUAGCCAUUGCAACUUGUAUGGAGUUGGAUGUUUAGUUGUAGCCAAACCUAGCUUUUCCACCAACAUAAUACUAGCUACAUUAGUACAGCUACCACCAUCAAUGAUCAUACUACAUACCUUGCCUUGAAUGUGGCAUCGAGUGUGAAAAAUAUUCUCCCUUUGUUGAUCAGUUUCAACACUUUGAAUACUGAGGCUACGCUUCACCACAAGAAUUUCUCCUUCAACGAGUAACUCUAAAUCUUCAUCAUCGGAUGGCAGUUCAGGUUCAUUUUCAUCCUCUUCCUCCGACUCAACUUCUCCAUCAGCUCUUAUCACCAUAAUUCGUCGAUUGGGACAUUGACUAGCUAUGUGCCCUCGGCCUUGACACUUGAAACAUCUUAUGUCUCUCGUGCGAUUUGGCGCUUGCUCAUUUUUAUUUUGACUUGUCUCUCCAAUGGGUUGAUUUGAUUUAACUGCUACAGUCGGCUCUUUUGUUCUAACAGGGGGUUUGUUGACUCCUUGAUUCCAUUUGUUGGUUGAAGAAUUGGCAUAGGGUCUACUAACUCCUUUUCGCUUAAGUUGCUUUUCAACCUUAAUCGCCAUGUGAACCAUGUCCAUCACUUCACCAUAGUGUUGUAGUUCAACUAUGUUGGCAAUGUCACGAUUUAAACCCGCAAGGAACCUAGCCAUGGUUGCCUCUCGAUCCUCCUCGAUAUCAGCUCAAAUCAUCGCUAUCUCCAUCUCCUUAUAAUAAUCUUCAACACUUCUAUUUCCUUGAGUAAGGUUUUGAAGUCGUUGAUAAAGAUCUCGAUGGUAGUAUGAUGGAAUAAAUCUUUUCCGCAUGACUGAUUUCAUUUCUCCCCAAGUAGAGAUGGGUCUUUCACCAUUUCGUUGUCGACUAGUUACAAGCUGGUCCCACCACACUAUGGCAUAAUCAGAAAACUCAAUUGCCGCGAGUUUCACCUUUUUACUCUCCGAAUAGUUGUGGCAAUAAAAAACAAGCUCAAUCUUCUUUUCCCACUCCAAAUAAGCUUCAGGGUCAUUCUUACCUUGGAAUGGUGGAAUUGUCAUCUUGAUAUUCUUAAGAUUGUCAUCUGGUCGUUCACGAUCUCUAGGACCUCAUUGUCGUUGACGGCCUCGACGUCGUACACUUUGGGCAGAUGAGUGAUCACUUUCUUGUCCACUUGCUUCAUAAGGAUCUUGAAUUGGACGUUCUCGCUCUUGUCUUGCAUCUUCCAGAGUCAUCUCACAUUGUUCUCGUCUCUCGACUCGAUAUAAUCGAUCUUCAAUUGGUUCAAGUUUUCUAUCAAAUAAUUGCUCCAUCUCUCGUAUAAUUGCUUGAAGGGUAAGAUCUGGCACUCCUCCUCCAACAUUUCUUACGGGACGGAACCCUCCUUCCACAUUUUGAUUUCUUUCCGGACUUCGUGACAUAUUUUUUUUAAAAUGAACUCACAACAAAGAAUCUCACUUCCUUGGCUUUUAUACUCUCGAAUAAACUCACCACUCUCUUGCCUCUUUCCACUCACUCCUCCUCUCUAAGUUCUUAGGAAUUAUUUAAACUUAAAAAGCAGUUGUUGUGGGUCGGCUUACAACCUUGAUGUUUGGGCUUGGUAAGAAUAUUGUAGGACAAAGGAAAGUAGGCUUGAAUCAAGAAAUGAAAGGUUGGAUGUGGCGAAAUAGUAGAAGGUAGUAAUAACUAUAAUUUGGGCAGCAAACAACAACAAAAUUUCAAAACUAGCUUCUUCUUUUUUUUCACAAAAAUUUUUUUUUCACGAAUUUUUUUUUCAACUUGAUAUCCAAUCUCUUGAGUUUGAAUGGAAAAUUUUUUUUUUGAAUUUUUUUUUGAAUUUUUUUUAAAUAAACUACUAUACCGUAUUGCCGACAAUGUCAAUUCUUACUCCAAAUUCGCUAGCUCUGAUACCAAUUUGAUACGAACUCGUCUCGUGAUGUUUUGAGUCGUAUGUGUUGCCCAAUCGUGAAUUGAGUAAGGAUGGAUUCGUUUCGGUUUUAAAAUGAAAAAAAAUAGAAAUAAUGGCUUCAAACAAAGUUAAUAAACAAAAUAAAGAGGAAACAAUAACAAAUUAAUUGGCUAAUACCGAAAAUGAACCAACAAUAACGAAUUGUUGACCCGAAUCUCAAAAUGGUCUUUAGGUGUUUUCGGUUAAAGGAAACAGGAAAGGAACCUUGACCCACUAUCAACUGUGAUAGGAACCAAAGGUAUAUUGAACGCCAGACCAAAGGUGAUAAGUUCAGCAACAAAGAAAAGAUGGACGCCACAAGCUAUGCUUGAUAAGUCAAAUCAAUUUCGAAAGAACAAAGAGAAUUGGAUAGCUCACAAUUCAAAUAUUUCAUCUAUAUUCAGCAAAAAGUUGUUCCCUCUAUGGCUGAUUACAUCUAUUUAUAAUGCUAGAAUAAGGUAACCGAAUGGUCAAAAGCAUCCACUUAAUGUGCCAUAAAAAACUGAUGUCUUUUCUUAUUCUUUGAACCAAAUAACUCCUUCCAUAAAAUCACUUUAAUUCAGCUGAUUUGAAUGUCUUUAAUGGCUUAGAAAAUGACUCUUGAGUUGUCCUUGGCUAGUUGAAUAGACACCAUCUCUUACCAGCUCCUUAAUGACAUUCAAAGGCUUGAUUAAUUUCUCUUAAAAGCUCCAAAAACGGCUAGAAGUGGAAGAGUUGCUGCUGAAUUUUAAAGGGCAUAAAAUGCGCUUUAAAAACUCCUUUUAAUGAUCUUUAAGCUCCUUUUUUUAACAGCCCCUUUAAUUGUAACUCAAAAGAACUUGAACAGCCACUUAUUAAAUGUGUAACAGCCUUGAAUUGUAACCACUAUAAGCUAAAAAGUCACCUGCAAUAAACACAUUAAAAUAAGUUUAUUAAACACAUUAAAACACUUAUUAAUCAUAAUACAUAUUAAACUUACUUAAAUAAAUGAACUAAAACAUAUAUGCAAUAAUUAUUCCAGCAACUAGUUUAAUUAAAGAAGCAUAAUUUAAAGAACUUAAUUUAUGCAUCAAUAAAUAAUCCUAAGAACUAGAUCAAUUAAGAAGCAUCUUAUUUAAUAAAGUUCAAUAACUAACUCAUGUAUUAAAACUUUAAGAUAAGUUAAAUUAAUUGAUCAGCAACUUAUUUAUUAAACUAAAACAAGUUAAUUAAAAGAAACAAAUUCAGCUUGCAAUAAAUUGCAAGUAACGCCUUUUGAACGGUUUGAAGCACGACUACCAAAUCUGGCCACUCCCUCUUUUGAUGUGAUCCGGCCUGGGUUAAUUGAGUCGUUUCACGUAAUUGCUCGAUCGUCGACGAGGAAUAGUUGAGUUAUCGGAAAUAGGAUGAAAUAAGGCUAAAGAUGCGGAAGCUUUCAAAUGGUUUUAAAGGUUGGCUAAUGAUGUGAUCCUGAUCGCAUCAUGUAAUGUCACAACCCAACGCCGUCGAGAUUGGCCUAAACACGAGGGCCCCAAGUGCAAGAUGAAGCUAACUUUUAGCUCAUUUGAAUUUCUUUUCGUGUGGUUCAACUCAUUCGAGCUCAAGUUAGCUCAUUAGUGCUCAAGUCAGCUCAUUCAAGCUCAAUUUAACUCAUUGAGCUCGUUAUUAGCUCUUUAGCUCUUUUAAUUUAAUUUGCCGGAAUAAAUUAAUUAGUUGAGUUAGUUAUUUUAGCUCAAAUAAUUACUAAGUGUUUAAGUAAGAAAUCUGGACAUUUUAAUUAUGUUUGCUUGUUGCAUGUUUAAUUUGUUUUAAUUAUUACCUAGCAUAAAUGUGUUUGCCUUAUUACAAUUAUUUAAUGUGUCUUAUUGCUGAUUUAUUAUGCCUAAGCUGUUAUUUAAUGUUCAGCCAAAUUUAAUUAACUUGUCUAGGAUGCUGAAUUAAAUGUGUCUUAGUUGCCGAAUUUAUUGAUGUUUUUUCAUUAGUUUCAGCCGAAUUUAUGAGCAUAUUUAUUGAUCAAAUUGCUGCCAAUUUAAUUUGUCUUAAGAUGCUGAUUUUUAAUGAGCAGAUAUUAAUGACCGAAUUUAAUUAUUUGGCUGCAGGUUUAAUAGCUUGGACGGCAAUUUAAGGAAGUGGAUGUUGGCCGAAUUUAAUGUACAGCAAGACAUGCAUUAAAGAUGCUAUUCUACAUGCAAGGAACGGCAUUAAAGGAGUUGUUUGUGCUUUUUCAUGUGGCCAUUUAAUGGACAAAAUUAAAGAAGCUGCUUGCUGAUUUAAUGUGCAGCAAAGACAUGAAUUGAAUGAGAUGUUCCCAUGUAUGGAACGGCAUUUAAAGGGAAGCAAAACAUGAAUUAAAUGAGAUAUUCACCAUGCAUGGACGGCAUUAAUGAAAGCAUGCAAGGGGGGACGUUAUUGAACAGCAUUAAAGCUGGUAUUGCUUCGGGUACAGCAAAGAGCUGUUGUUUGGGGAAUUUCCAAGUGACCAUUCGGCCAAAGCAUGUCUGUUGCUUAAUUAACCAAGGUUGACGUUUCAUACUCCCAAGAAGCAUUUAGGAGCUGUUUUGUGUGCCCAAAACGUCAAUAAAAAUGGUCAAGCUGUUCAACUCACAAGGAGGCUUCAUUAAGGUGCAUUCAACUUCAUUGGCCGAACCAAGACCCCUUAUUCAGCUCACCAAUACUUCCAUUAAUGUCCAGCUGAAUGGAUUACAUCUAGAAGCUGUCCAGUUGACUUCUUCAUGCAUGAAGCUUCCCAAAAAUGUCUUAGGAAGGUUGCUGGAAAUUUCUAGUCUCUUUUGUUUUAAUUUUGGCUGACCAUUCAGCAUCUUGUUAGUCCAUUCGGCUACCUUAGGAAUUUAGCUAUAAAUAGCUUGCUUUGUAUUCGUUUUAAGGUUAGACAAUAUAUUUUUAAAACUUAUAUGAAAUUUGUUUACUUUGUGAGUUUGUUUUCAACUCUCAUUGUUCUCCAAGGACUGGUUAGACUUAUCAAGUAACCCUUGUGGCGUCAACCCGUUUUUGUAUUUCGAACUUAUCACUUUGCACCCAAAGUGUGGCGUUCAAGUUAUACCGAGGUUCCUAUCAUCUUUGAUAGUGGGUCAAGGUUCCAUUUUAUUCGUUUUCCAUCCAUACAACAUUUAACCUUUCCUAAGUAUUCGUAUAAGUCCCGGGUUAACACACUUAUAUUGUGUUGGUUCAACAUGAAUACUUGGUUUUCAUUCACCUAUCAUCCUCAAUACAUUUCAUAACCCCUUUUGAACUAAAUUUGAGCCUUUAUCUCUUCUUUCUUAACCUAUUUCGUCCACCCUCGAGUAUUACUCCAAUUCACGAUCGGGCACAUCUACGACUCGACUCUCCUUCCCGAGCUGGGGCGUAUCAUUUGGUAUCAGAGCUAGCUGAAUCGGAGUAAGAAUCGAAGUUAUCGGCAUUUCGAUAUUGUAAAAAAAAAGGAAAAAAUAAUUCGAAAAAAAAAAUUCAAAAAAAAAUUUGUAUUCAAUUUUUUUUUCUUUUCCUUGUCUUCUUUUGUAUUCAGUAUUGGAAAAAAAAAGAGAAAUUAAAAAAAAAAAGAAAAAAAAUGUUUCAGAAGUAAAAAAAAAGGUGAUUGAAAUUCAUUUUGAGUUUGUAAAGGUUUGCUGCCCGAGGUACUCAAAAUUCAUUUCUAGCCACACUUAACCUUUCUAUUUUGUUUGAUAGCCUACCUUUAAUCCCGACAUCAGCCCCACCAAAGCCACAUCAAUUUUGUAAGCCGACCCCAAACGGUAUUGAUUUGUCGACUUAGUUUGCGAAGAACUUUGAGGGGUGAAAAUCGAGUGGAAAAAGGCAAGAGCGAUUGGUGAGACCAUUCGAGAGAAGUAAAAGCCAAAUAGUGUGAAUUUUUUUUUGUGUGAGAGAAGUGUGAGUUUUGUUGUGUGAUUAAAAAAAAAGAUGUCAAGAAGUUUUGAAGGGAUUGAUGAUGAAGAAUAUGACGAUGUUUUGAUCGACCCAACAUAUCAAACGAUUAUUCACGAGGUGGGUCAAAUGCUUCAAAGAAAAUUGGAACCAAUUAAAGAACGACUGAAGAAGUUGGAUGAACGAUUCCAACGGGAGCAAAUUUCUUCAAGUCAAGAGACGAAGAAAAGAUCGUCACGACGACACUACUCGACAAGAGACUCUUAUCAAGACUUCUAUUCAACAAGGCAUUCAAGACCAAGAGAAGCAAACUCCGAGUUUGAGUCCUUCCGAGAUGAUAAACGAAAAAGUAAACGUGUCUCUACAAGUGCCUCAAUUUAUUCAUCUACAAAGGAUUAUUUACGAAGAGGUGCACAUGUUUCAAGAGUGUCAAAGUACUCGGCUACGGAAGAUUUAUUACAAAGAGAUGAUUGUCAUUUGUAUGAACAAUCCUUUUCUUAUUCUCAACAAAAGGUUUCUCAUUUUGAUGAUUUCUACUUUUGUAAUGGAAUUGAAAUAGCAUGUGAAAAAGAAAAAGAGCGCGAGCGAGAAAAUGAAAAUGAAAAAGAAAUGAAAGAAAAAGAAGAUGAAGGUGAGAUAGAAAAGAAAAUUGAAAAUGAGAUUGAGAAUAAAAACGAGUGUGAAAAAGAAAAGAAAACUGAAAAAGAGAGUGAGAUUGAAGGAAGAAAUGAGAGUGCAAAAGAAAUGAGUGAUAUGGUAAAGGAAAGAGGAUUUGAAAAUGAGUUGGAAAAAGAAAUAAGCGAAAAAGAUGAAAGUGAACAAGAAAGGAGUGUUGUUACUAACCAUCCUAUGAAUUUUCCUUGUUUUGUUUCUACUUUUCAGGUUUCUCGAAAUCCCAUCGAUCAAUUUCAACUUCAAUACUUUUCUGAGGAGAGACGACUUCGAUUAGUCGAGAAAGGUAAAAUCAUAGAUGACUCUAUUCCACCAGCGCCUAAAGGUAAGCAUGGUAAGGAUUCUAUGUUAGUCGAACUUCAACAAAUUCAUAUGCAUGAUAAUGUUAAGAUUGCUGAAGAAUUAGUUAGUAGAAGACUUUCCUAUCCUGAUUUGUCUAAGUAUCAAUUUUUGAUUGGUGAUGACUUUGAUUGGGAUGAUGGAUUGAAAAGUUUUCCUCAUGAUAUUUCUGAUGUUUACAAGCUUGAUGAUGAAGCCAGAUUAAAACAACACAAACAAAAUUUGGAAUUGUGUGAUGAAAAGUUGACAUCUAAUCUGUUUGCUUGUGUUGAUCAUGUGAAUUAUCUAAUUUGUGAUUCUGAAAAUUGCUCCAUGUCGUGGUUUAAAAGGUUUGAACAUGUUUUGCAUAAUCAUUACUUAAAAUUACAUCGUUUCCUUUUUAUGAUACCGAUUUUGAAAUUGUCAUAUCAAAUUGGAAUGGCAAGAGGAAACUUUGUUUUUGACCCCGGUGCAUAUCAUUUUAAAUUGUUGUCAAAAGGAUUCGAACUAUGGGAAGUUGACUUCAAAAAUUAUAGCUAUCAAGUGCCUUGUGACCCAGGUUUGUUGCAAUCAAUGAAUUUUUUAAUUCAUUUUGAUAAGGUAAGACCAACUUCUACUUUUGAUCCCGGUAUUGACUCAUAUGUUCACUUGUUGAAUAAGAUCUUUAAAAAUUCUUUGGAGUUUAUGAUUUCUAGUGUCACUAACCUAUCUCUUUCUUGUGUAGGUGACACUUCAGAAUGGUUCCCUCCAAAAGAGGGAGGGCGUGGAAAUAAUUCAAAAUUUUCUCGAACCAUUCGUGAUUUUCAAAGUUUUGGAAAUGAUUCUAUUCGGGUCAUGAACAAAAGGGUUCGAGAUCUUGAAAUUUUUUUUUCGAGCAAGUGGCCCGAUUUGAGGACAAAUCGUCUUCAAGAGGGAGGGUAUGAUGUGAUCCUGAUCGCAUCAUGUAAUGUCACAACCCAAUACCGUCGAGAUUGGCCUAAACACGAGGGCCCCAAGUGCAAGAUGAAGCUAAUUUUUAGCUCAUUUGAAUUUCUUUUCGUGUGGUUCAACUCAUUCGAGCUCAAGUUAGCUCAUUCGUGCUCAAGUCAGCUCAUUCAAGCUCAAUUUAACUCGUUGAGCUCGUUAUUAGCUCUUUAGCUCUUUUAAUUUAAUUUGCCGGAAUAAAUUAAUUAGUUGAGUUAGUUAUUUUAGCUCAAAUAAUUACUAAGUGUUUAAUUAAAAAAUCUGGACAUUUUAAUUAUGUUUGUUUAUUGCAUGUUUAAUUUGUUUUAAUUAUUACCUAGCAUAAAUGUGUUUGCCUUAUUACAAUUAUUUAAUGUGUCUUAUUGCUGAUUUAUUAUGCCUAAGCUGUUAUUUAAUGUUCAGCCAAAUUUAAUUAACUUGUCUAGGAUGCUGAAUUAAAUGUGUCUUAGUUGCCGAAUUUAUUGAUGUUUUUUCAUUAGUUUCAGCCGAAUUUAUGAGCAUAUUUAUUGAUCAAAUUGCUGCCAAUUUAAUUUGUCUUAAGAUGCUGAUUUUUAAUAAGCAGAUAUUAAUGACCGAAUUUAAUUAUUUGGCUGCAGGUUUAAUGGCUUGGAUGGCAAUUUAAGGAAGUGGAUGUUGGCCGAAUUUAAUGUACAGCAAGACAUGCAUUAAAGAUGCUGUUCUACAUGCAAGGAACGGCAUUAAAGGAGUUGUUUGUGCUUUUUCAUGUGGCCAUUUAAUGGACAAAAUUAAAGAAGCUGCUUGCUGAUUUAAUGUGCAGCAAAGACAUGAAUUGAAUGAGAUGUUCCCAUGUAUGGAACGGCAUUUAAAGGGAAGCAAAACAUGAAUUAAAUGAGAUAUUCACCAUGCAUGGACGGCAUUAAUGAAAGCAUGCAAGGGGGGACGUUAUUGAACAGCAUUAAAGCUGGUAUUGCUUCGGGUACAGCAAAGAGCUGUUGUUUGGGGAAUUUCCAAGUGACCAUUCGGCCAAAGCAUGUCUGUUGCUUAAUUAACCAAGGUUGACGUUUCAUACUCCCAAGAAGCAUUUAGGAGCUGUUUUGUGUGCCCAAAACGUCAAUAAAAAUGGUCAAGCUGUUCAACUCACAAGGAGGCUUCAUUAAGGUGCAUUCAACUUCAUUGGCCGAACCAAGACCCCUUAUUCAGCUCACCAAUACUUCCAUUAAUGUCCAGCUGAAUGGAUUACAUCUAGAAGCUGUCCAGUUGACUUCUUCAUGCAUGAAGCUUCCCAAAAAUGUCUUAGGAAGGUUGCUGGAAAUUUCUAGUCUCUUUUGUUUUAAUUUUGGCUGACCAUUCAGCAUCUUGUUAGUCCAUUCGGCUACCUUAGGAAUUUAGCUAUAAAUAGCUUGCUUUGUAUUCGUUUUAAGGUUAGACAAUAUAUUUUUAAAACUUAUAUGAAAUUUGUUUACUUUGUGAGUUUGUUUUCAACUCUCAUUGUUCUCCAAGGACUGGUUAGACUUAUCAAGUAACCCUUGUGGCGUCAACCCGUUUUUGUAUUUCAAACUUAUCACUUUGCACCCAAAGUGUGGCGUUCAAGUUAUACCGAGGUUCCUAUCAUCUUUGAUAGUGGGUCAAGGUUCCAUUUUAUUCGUUUUCCAUCCAUACAACAUUUAACCUUUCCUAAGUAUUCGUAUAAGUCCCGGGUUAACACACUUAUAUUGUGUUGGUUCAACUUGAAUACUUGGUUUUCAUUCACCUAUCAUCCUCAAUACAUUUCAUAACCCCUUUUGAACUAAAUUUGAGCCUUUAUCUCUUCUUUCUUAACCUAUUUCGUCCACCCUCGAGUAUUACUCCAAUUCACGAUCGGGCACAUCUACGACUCGACUCUCCUUCUCGAGCCGGGGCGUAUCAGCUAAGGUGAUGGUAAAUUUAUAAGGGUAGUAGGCUCGAUUUAAGGAUAAAAAUAAGAAAAAUGGAAGUUGAUAAAUGAAGGCUCGGUUUUGUAAAAAGAUAUUAUAGUUGGGUAAAAUCUAGGAUAGUCGGUGGAAUGGAUAAAUGAGCUUAAACACCAGAAACAAUUCAACACUAAAAAGUGUCACCCCGAUUUCUAUUCGGUUCAAGGUGGGAUUAUGGAAUUGUAGAAGGGUUGAACGCCACACAAAAGCAAGGUGAUAAGUUCAAAAGAGAACGAUAGAUGCCACUAGCACGCUAGAUAAGUCAGAUCGAAACUCGUACGAAUUUAGAGAGGAGAAAACUCACUCUUUGAACAAAGUUCAUUCAAAUGAUCAAAAGUCAAAAGUCCUUUUACAAUGAAAAUGAACAACUAUUUAUAGUGUUCAGCUAGGUAGCCGAAUGGCCAAAACAAAGACUUAAUGUCUAAGUAAUUAAUUAGGCUAGAAAAUGCUAGAAAAUUUUGGAAAUAAAAAACUAAAUUGCUGGAACUAAAUUCAGCUGAAUUUGAAGCUCAAGGGACGAUUUCUAGAAGAGCAAAUGCACUUGGAGAAAUGGCAGCAGCUAGGUUCAGCCAAUUGAGCUUAAAUGAGCUCAUUAAAAUGUAAUUCUUGGCUGAAAAGAGACCAGCAUUAAAGGUGAACGUGAACAGCCUUGAAGGUGUGAAAAAGGAGUUGGAAAAGUCUUUGGAAGUGUGAACAAUGAUCAGCCAAAUGGUCCCUGGUGUGAACUCCAAAUGUGAACGCAUAGGUGCUGUUUUGGGAAGUGCAUCGGCCAGCUUUUGGAGAAUGAAUUUAGUUGCUCUUCUUGGCUGAAUAAACACCUUGAAUUAUCAUAAAAUGAGCCAUAUCCACGAAUCCAACCAUUCAUGUAUUCAGCCAUUCAUGUAUACUCCCAUACGUUGUAUUGAACCAUUCAUGCACUUGGACUUUAAUGCUCCUUCAUGCAUUCAGCCAUCCUACAAGAAAAAACAUGAACUAAAUUAAGUGCAAAUGUAUAUUCGGCUGAACUAAAUGGUAUUAAGACAAAUUAAAUAUAAUCCAGCCACCUAAUUAAAUUCGGCUAACACAACAUAAUUAUAACAUGUAAUAAGCUGACAAGUAAUUAAGAGCUGUAACUAAAUUAACUAAUUAACUUAAAUAAUUAAUUUAUUCCAGCAAAUAAAAUUAAUUUAGCUAAAUGGAGCUUGACGAGCUGAAUUCAAGCUGAAAUCAAGGGCAUCCUUGGCCAGGGUCGUAUCAUUCUGCCCUUCUUUAGAACGACUUGUCCUCAAGUCGAGCCAUUGGUUCACUCGAUCAUAGCUCCGCUUACUCAUCUUUCCUCGAUCAAACAGAAUCGAACACAAAUAAAAUAAAACACCAAACUGUUUUGUUACAUCUUCACCAUACAAAGUCUCAUCAAACGAAGGAAUUAUUUUAAAUGAGUAAUCACAAAUCAUCAAGAAUUCAUUUGAGCAAAUAUGUGGCCCAAGUACCAUUUGGGUAGAACAUUCAUAAUCCUUGCAAGAAGGUAUUUUCCAAAUUUCAUACCCACAAUCGAUUGAACAAAGCUUUUUGCAAGUUAUGAUUUUACCACUUAAUCGGCUUAAAUCUUGCAUAGUUAAGCUUAACAGUGGCCAUUGAUCUUUCACCUUUUCAACAAACUUGUCAUCAAGGAGAAUCUUACCAAAAAUUUUCAAGAGACAUGUGGACACAUUCAACUUAAUCCGUUCAUCGAUCAAGCAGAUAAACUCCUCACCACAACUUAUUGAACACAAAUUUUUAUCACAAACAGAUGAAUGCACAGUAAAACCUUGCAAUGGAAAUUGAACGAUUGGUUCUUCCAAAAUUCGGCCCAUCUCGUUCACCAAGUAUUGAAAUUCAUCAGUAGAGAAUUCUUCUUGAGACAUGAUUUAAUUACUAAAAAAAUGAUUAAAACAAAACAAAAAUUAAAUACCUCACCACAAAAAUCUCACGUUUCACUCACAAAGAAAAUUGGAUAGCACACCACUCGUGUUUACGCUCGUUUAAUGGCUUUUGAUCGCUCUAAUGUACUCACCACUCGUGCCUUUUUCCACUCGUCUCACUCUCGUGAAUUCGUAUUUUGUUUCAAGAAGACUUAUUGUGGCUUAGAGGGUUGGCUUCAAAUGGGUUACAAGGGAUAACGUCGGGUGUAGGGUAGGCUAAACAAAGAAAAAAAAAUCAAAGUAUGUGUGGCAUUUUGGGGGGGUAGAAGGAAUGGUAGAAUGAAUGGAUGCUCAGAAGCAAUAAGAAAUAAUAACAAAAUAAAACUCACAAGACUUUUCACUUUUUUUAAUACUUCGAAUUUUUUUUUCAAUUUUUUUUUCGAUUUUUUUUCGAAUUUCCUCUUCUUCUUUUUUUUGAUUUUUUUGUUCAAUUACAAUAUGCUGAAAUACAAAGGGAAGAGAAAAGAGAAAAAAAUUACAACCUGAAUUUUUUUAUUUUUCUUUCAUGUUACGAACCUACUCCGAGCUUGAUACGAAUUGAUGUGAGCUUGCCUACGAACCAAAUGGAGAACGAACAAGAAGCCAUUAAGCUGCCCAUUGGUCCAAUAACGCGAGCUAGAGCUAAACGAUUCAAAGAUGCUAUUUUAGCAAUGGUGGAACGGGUUGAGGAAAAUGAUAGCAAGGAGUUUAAAAACGAGCUGAACAUAUUCAACUUCUUUGAAGCUGAAUUUCAUUCUAGCUAAUUAAUUUGAUGACUGGAAUUUAGACCAUUUAAAUAAACAUUUAAAUAAGUUUCAUUACAGCUUUUAAAUAUGUCUUAAUUAAUUUAAGUGUUUAAUAUGUCUUGAUUUAGUUAAAUUAAAGAUGUCUUGAUGUCAUUUAGUUUGUCUAAAUUAUUACAUGUUUUAAAUUUGUCUAGCCGAAUUUAUGUGUUAUGAUUUGUUAAUAUUUAAGUUGUCUCAAUGUUAUUUAGGAUGUUCACAUUAUAUUUUAAUUUAGUUAAGAUGAAUUUGCUUGAAAUUAAUUAAGUUCAUGUUUAUUUUUAGGUGCAGCCGAAUUUGGAGAUGAAUUGGACAGAUUCAUGCAUGGAGAUUCAAUGAAUUUGAAGAUGCAUGUGCAGCUGAACUAAUGCAUUAAAAGCUGAAUAAUUUUGGUGUUCUUCAAGGCAACUAUUCGGCCAAGAGUGAUCAAGUUUUUCAUCCUUUCAAGCUUGGCCGAUUCUCUUCCCAAGGGCGUAUAAAAGCUGUUCACACUAUGUCUAUUCAGUUCAGCCAUGUUCACACUUCAAAGCUCUUCCUUGGUCUCUAUUCAGCCGAACCUUGAUGCAAGCAUAUACAUGAAUUUAAGCUGAAUUUUUGUUCAAUUUUUUCUUAGAAAUUAAGUCUAGAAUAUGUCCAUUCAGCUACUAGACAUUAGACUAUAAAUAGUUGCUCAAUUUCUUGUAAAAGGACUUUUGACAAAUUUCUGAAUGAAAUAUCAUUUUUAGUGAGGCAAUUCACUAUCUUUAUUCUCCAAAGCUCUAAUUGACUUAUCUUCAACAAGUGGCAUCAAUCUGACUUUGUUUCAAACUUAUCACCAUUGGUGUGGCGUUCUUCAUACCGUAGGUUCCUAUUUUGCUAAAUAGAGGGUCUCAGUUUUAUCCCAAAUCCUUUCUUUCUUUGAAACCUUAAGCCCUGGGUCCUUAUUUGCUAAUAAGGGUUCGACUUGUUUUCAUUGAAAUAUCCAGCAAACAACACUCCAUCAAACUCCCUUGUUUCCCAAAUCCAUUUAAUUUUAAACACCAAGACUUGAAUUUAUUUCAAGGCUGACACUACCUAAUUUCGAUCGGGAAAUAUUACGACUCGUUAUUUCAUACGAAACGAGCUCGUAUCACGAAUGUCGGCACUCCUAGUUUUAGUAGCUCUGAUACCAGAUGAUGUGAUCCGGCCCAGGUUAAUUGAGUCGUGAUACGAGUCAUAAAGGCCCAAUCCAAGUUCAAGAACGUGCUGGGCUCAAAUUGCCACAAGGCCCAAUAACAAGAUCAAAGGCCCGACAAAUGCGGUCCAAACUAAAUGGGACCAUUCAAGAGCUUGUUAGCAAGGCCUUAGAUGCAUACACGAGAGAACAAGAAAAUCAAGAUUCACUUUCUUGUUUUCAAGAAAAUUAAGAAACCGAAUCUUGGCCCAAUUCUGCUGUUCAAAGAGAUUUCAAGAAUCAAGAAAAUCAAGAUUUCAAAUCUUGGAAAUCUUGGUCCAAGAAACCAAAUCUUGCAGCCAAAACGCAUUGGAUCUCCAUUACAAGCGUCAACGACCCAAUUUUGGUAGGAGAUGGAUCACGAGCCCAAAUUCUUGAAGGCGAGGCCCAAUAACCAAAAUCCAGCCCAAUCAAGAAAUUUUUUCAUACUUAGUUGAAAAUCAGGCCAAAAUGUCAAAGGGCCCAAUUCGUAAACAUCCUACUUGUUUAAUUUAAUUUUUUAAUCUUUAGGAGCAUUACAUGUAAAAUUUGGCCCAAAACAGCCCAUAUAAGUGCAUGGCCAAAUUUACCUUGUUAUUUUAUUAAUUAGGUUUAAUUUUUAUUAGUUACUUGUGAGAUUAGGAUUUGUUGGAGGCCUAUAUAAGCAUUGGCCAGCCACCCUUUGUAAACACAUCUUAUUAUUAUUUUUUCUAUCAAAUUUCAGAUUUGUUGAGUGCAGAAUUUUCUUUGGGGUUUUCUCCAAGAAUUCUCUCUUGAGUUUUCUUUAGAAGUUGUUUUAACAAUCUUUUGAUUGUGGGAGCCAUCUUCAACCUUCUUCUUGCCAUCGAUAUUCUUUGGAGGGGAGAUUAGAGCCGUUUGAAGGAAUUUGUGAAUUCUUUCGGGAAUUCAAGGGUUCUUAGGACUUUUCUUUAUUUCUUGUUGUUUCGAUUUGUUUCUUUAUUCCUACUUGUGCCGAUUCAUCAUCUAAUAUUUUGCUGUUCUUGUUUGUGUUUCAGCCUUGAUUCAAACUCCAAGAACUCUUCAUUUAAUCGGUUCUUUUAUUGGCCACAUAUAAUCGACUCAAAAUUCCCCAAAAUUUAGGGUUCUUGCCAUUUUCUAUUUCUUCUUGUUGGGUGAAAUUCGGCUGCUGAAAUUUGGGCAAUUCAUAUUGGGUGUUCAAUUGGACCGAAUCGCAACUUAAAUUCACUUCUUGAACUGUUCAAUUUCACCUAUUUCUUUCUUUUCUUUUUUUUUGCCGCCCAAAUCCCUAAUUUUCCAAUUAAAAAUCUGAUUGUUUCAAUCUACUUACUGUUUUGGUGUUCUUGGCAGAUUCGGCUUGUGGGAGUUCAUUCUUGGGAAUCAAUUUCGUGUUCUUGGUUUCAAGAAACCUCAUUCAUAAGUGUUUCGUUCCUUGAUUAGAUUUUGCUGAUUUUUAGGGUUCUUAUUCCAGAUGUUAAUUUUUCCAGAUUUAAUCUCGUUCUUUGUUUGAUUUCAGCUCUGUUCGUUUAGAGCUUUCGUAGGAGUUUCUCGUGACUUGGCAAUUCGAUCUUGGUCCGCGCGCAUUCCUCUAUCAUUUGGUAUCAGAUUUUGGGCGUUUUGGGUGUUCUUGGUUGAUUUCUAAACUGAUCUCUAUUUUUUAAAUCAUAAACAGCAGUUUUACCCAGAAAAAUUGUUCAAAAUAAAUUCAUUUGAGAGGGUAAACGUUGUCCGAUUGAUCUGAAAUUUUACAUACAUGUUUUUGGCACUGUGAUUGAAUAUAAAAAAAUUAUUCCCGCAAAAAAAUCAAUCAAAAAAGUCAAAAAAAAUCAAAAAAUACGAAAUUCAAUAAAAAUUUUAAAAAAGAUUCAGCGGGUUGAAUUUGGUGCCCAAAAUUUCCAGAUCAAAAAUUCAAUAUAUAAGGACACUCCAGAUUUAAUUUCGUGAUUUUUGGAGAUCAGGAACACCUCGAACGAAGUUGUCAAGUUACUCCGCAGUUUUUCAGGUUUUCUAUUUUCAGCAAUUUUUAUUGAUUCUUAGCUGUAGGUUUUCAUUUGUUUACCUUUAUUCUUCCUUUACGUCAUCUAACACCUUCUUGUUUCUUGUGUUAGUAGGAUUUAAACGUGUGCACAACUUCUUCCUCGGUGCAACACGAAUCAAUUGGUGUCUCGUUAGUUUUUGGCAUCCUAGUGCAAAUUAGGAUUCUUUGGUAGUUUGGUUCACACUCUCUAAUUGGUUGAUAUAAACUCUGAUAAAGAACUCACAAGAUUGAAUUCGACCUCAUUGAGAAUUUGAUUUUUUCUUUUUGAGUGAUUAACGGUGAGGUUUGAUAACUUUUAUUUUUGAGUGUUGAGUGUUUAUUUUUGCAGUUUUUUUGGAAGAUGUCUAAAGAUGACCAUAAUGAUACACUUAUGGAAGUUCAACAACAGUUAGAAGGACACGCUGCUGCAAUCACACAAAUAAAUGCUACCUUUCAAGCAUUGAAUACUACUUUGAAUGAGGUACGAAUGAAUCAAGAACUUCAAUAUCGAGAUCCAAUCAGGGAAGAUAGGAAUAACCAGCCCCAUAGGCGCGGCCCUCGACGUGUCCCUAGAAUGGAUGAUGAUUUUCAUGAUCGUGGACAACCUUCUUUGGCAAAACUGAAAUUCACAAUUCCCCAAUUUUGUGGUAAGAAUGAUCCUGACGCUUAUUGUGAAUGGGAAUCUAAGAUUGAACUCAUGUUUCGGUAUUAUAAAUGUCUGGAUGAUGAAAAGGUAGCGUUAGCAACACUGGAAUUUUCUGAUUAUGCAUUAAGUUGGUGGACUCAACUUGGGGUAAACCGCCAUCGGAAUUAUGAAGGUGAGAUUUCGACAUGGGAUGAGUUGAAACAGAUUAUGCGUAAAAGGUUUAUUCCACCUCACUACUAUAGAGAAAUUAAAACAAAGUUGAGAAGACUUAUCCAAGGUAGUAGGACAGUGGAUGAAUAUUUUAAAGAGAUGGAGAUGCUCAUUCAGAGAGCUAAUGUGGAGGAAGAUGAAGAAACAAUUAUGGUUCGAUUCAUUGAUGGUUUGAACAGGCCGAUAGCUAAUACAUUGACGCUACAAACUUACAUUGAUUUGGAAGAAGCAGUUCACAAAGCCAUUGAGAUCGAGCAACAAUUAAAGGAACAAAGGUUUGGGUCCUUCUCUACUUCACAAUAUUAUCGAGGUAACAAUUCCAAUUCUGAUUUUAAGAGUUCAAAACCACCUUUUGUUACUAACAAGUCUUCUUUGAGUAAUGGAAGUAAACAAUUAGAUUGGAAAAAAGGGGCUCCUGCAAAAACGCAAACACCUUCUAAGCAGCCCAAUUUAGGUGAUUCGAGUGCGAAGAGGACUCGUGAGAUUGAAUGCUUUAAGUGCAAAGGGCGUGGUCAUUAUAGUAGAGAAUGCCCUAACACGAGAUUACUUCUUCUAAAAGAUAACGGUGAGUACACUCCCGACUCUGAUAAUACAGAUCCAAAUAUGCCAGAACUUGUGGAUGACAGUGAUAAUGGCGACGAGUUGGUCGAACCACCAAAGGAAGGGGACUUUGCUAAUUUUCAAUGCCUUGUAGUUCGUCGAACUCUUAACAUUCAGAUGAAAGAUGAUGAUAGCCAAAGGGCCAAUAUUUUCCAUUCUCGGUGUUUUAUUAAAGGUAACUUAUGUUCACUCAUUAUUGAUAGUGGUAGUUGCUCGAAUGUAGUGAGUAGUUAUUUGGUGGAUUCUUUAAAGUUGCCUUGUACCAAACACCCUAAGCCAUAUCACCUUCAGUGGCUUAAUGAAUGUUCCGAAGUUAAAGUUACGAAACAGUCAUUGGUCACUAUGAAACUCGGCAAUUAUGAGGAUGACGUAUGGUGUGAUGUAGUCCCCAUGCAUGCGGCACACUUGCUCCUUGGACGACCUUGGCAAUUUGAUCGCGAUGUUACACACCAAGGUAAACUUAAUCGAUACUCCCUUAUAUUUAAAGGCAAGAAAUUCACUUUUGCUCCUUUAAAUCCUACUGAUGUAUAUAAAGAUCAAUUGAGGAUGAUAAAAUUUUGUGAGGGGGUAAGGGAGAAAGAGCAAGUACAAAAGACAGAGAGAAAAGAGGCUAAUAGUAGUGGAAAAAGUCAAAAUUUAAAAAGCCCAAAGGUGAGUGAAUCCUCUAGUGGUAAAAUGAGCGGAAAAAAUCUUUUGGCAACAAAAAAAGAUGUAAAGAGAGCCCUACUUAAUAAACAGCCUUGUAUCCUUGUGAGGUUUAGGCAAAAUUAUUUAUCUUUAUCUAACAUUAACGAAAAUUUGCCUAGUGUGUUUCAAUCUCUUUUGCAGGAUUAUGAGGAUGUUUUUAGUGAGGCCCCUAAAGGUUUACCACCUUUACGAGGGAUAGAACAUCAAAUUGACUUAGUACCCGGAGCUUCAAUCCCAAAUCGACCAGCCUAUAGAUGCAAUCCCGAGGAGACAAAGGAAUUGCAAAGGCAAGUGGAGGAAUUACUAGACAAAGGGUACAUUCGUGAGAGCCUAAGUCCUUGUGUUGUUCCUGUCUUAUUGGUGCUAAAGAAAGAUGGUACGUUUCGUAUGUGUGUUGAUUGUCGCCCAAUCAACAAGAUAACGGUAAAGUAUCGACACCCAAUCCCUAUACUUGAUGAUAUGCUUGAUGAAUUACAUGGUUCAAUAAUAUUUACAAAAAUUGAUUUAAAAAGCGGUUAUCAUCAAAUUCGAAUGAGGGAAGGGGAUGAAUGGAAAAAGCUUUUAAAACAAAAUUUGGAUUGUAUGAAUGGUUAGUUAUGCCUUUCGGCCUUACUAAUGCACCUAGUACAUUUAUGAGAUUAAUGAAUCAUGUUUUGAGGCUACAUUUGGGUAAAUUUGUAGUAGUUUACUUUGAUGAUAUUUUAAUUUACUCAAAGUCAUUAGAUGAUCAUGUUUUCCAUGUUCGAACCGUUUUGGAUAUUCUACGAACUGAAAGAUUAUUUGCCAACCUUGAUAAAUGCACAUUCUGUUGUGAUAAACUAAUAUUCUUAGGUUUCAUAGUUAGUGCUCAAGGUAUUCAUGUCGACGAGGACAAAGUUAAGGCAAUUAAGGAGUGGCCGACUCCUAAAUCGGUAACUGAGGUGAGAUCUUUCCAUGGUUUAGCUAGUUUUUAUAGACGAUUUGUGAAAGAUCUCUCUACUAUUGCUGCCCCAUUGACUGAAGUUAUAAAGAAAUCAGUGGGUUUCAAAUGGGGUGAAACCCAAGAAAAAGCUUUUCAAACUCUAAAAGCUAAGUUAUGUUCUGCUCCUUUGCUUAAAUUACCUGAUUUUGCUAACACUUUUGAACUUGAGUGUGAUGCUUCAGGAAUUGGAAUCGGCGCCGUUUUAAUGCAAGAUAAGCAACCUAUUGCUUAUUUUAGUGAGAAAUUGAACGGUGCACAGUUAAAUUACUCGACUUAUGACAAAGAACUAUUGGCAUUAGUUCGUGCACUUCAAGUAUGGCAACAUUAUUUGCUGCCUAAUGAGUUUAUCAUACAUACAGAUCAUGAGUCUCUUAAAUGGUUAAAGGGACAAGGUAAGUUGAGUAAAAGACAUGCCCGAUGGGUAGAAUUCAUUGAAACAUUCCCUUAUGUGAUUCAAUAUAAAACAGGUAAAGAUAAUGUAGUCGCAGAUGCUUUGUCUAGACGAUAUACUUUAAUAACUACAUUGAAUGCUAAAGUCUUAGGGUUUGAGCAUAUUAAAGAGUUAUAUGAUGAUGAUACUAAUUUCAGCCAUAUCUAUAAGAAUUGUGGACAUACUGCUUUUGAAAAAUUUUAUCUUGUAGAUGGCUUUCUUUUUCGUUUAAACAGGUUAUGCAUACCAAAGUGUUCCAUGAGAGAAUUGUUGAUUCAUGAAGCCCAUAGUGGGGGACUAAUGGGACAUUUUGGAGUGGCCAAAACACUAGACAUAUUGCAAGAACACUUCCAUUGGCCACAUAUGAAGAAGGAUGUGGAAAAGGUGAUACAAGCUCGUUUCGUAUGAAAUAACGAGUCGUAAUAUUUCCCGAUCAAAAUUAGGUAGUGUCGGCCUUGAAAUAAAUUCAAGUCUUGGUGUUUAAAAUUAAAUGGCUUUGGAAAACGAGGGAGUUUGAUGGAGUGUUGUUUGCUGGAUAUUUCAAUGAAAACAAGUCGAACCCUUAUUAGCAAAUAAGGACCCGGGGCUUAAGGUUUCAAAGAAAGAAAGGAUUUUGGGAUAAAACCGAGACCCUCUAUUUAGCAAAAUAGGAACCUACGGUAUGAAGAACGCCACACCAAUGGUGAUAAGUUCGAAACAAAGUCAGAUUGACGCCACUUGUUGAAGAUAAGUCAAUUUGAGCUUUGGAGAAUAAAGAGAGUGAAUUGCCUCACUAAAAUGAUAUUUCAUUCAGAAAUUUGUCAAAAGUCCUUUUACAAGAAAAUGAGUAACUAUUUAUAGCCUAAUGCCUAAUAGCCGAAUGGACAUAUUCUAGACUUAGUUUCUAAGCAAACAUUGAACAAAAAUGGCCAAUGUAGGUUCGGCUGAAUGGUGAUCAUACAUGAAGCUUCCAUAUUAAGCAAAUGAAUCUUGGGAAUGCAUGUAGCAGCUACAUUCAGCUGAUGAGCUUAAUUGAUCAUUCAAUAGGCAACUCUUGCUGAAAAAUUAUCAAUAAUAAAGAGGGCACUUGAACAGCCACAUUAGGUGUGAAUGGACGGUUUUGAAGAGCCUUAAAAUGUGAACACCAAGAACCGAAUGGCCAAAAUGUAUCCAGCAAUGUGAAGGAAAUAAUGGCAGCUUGAAAAACUAUCUCUUUAGCUGAAUGGUCACUUAGAGAACUUCAAUAAUCAGCACACCAUUUUUAAUGUAGUUCAUGCAUGCAUCUUGCACACCACAUUCGGCCAACCUUUCCCAUGCAUCUUCCACAUUCGGCUGAACCUAAAUAAAACAAAUGAACCUCAUUAAUUUAACUCAAUUCAACUGAACAUAAUAUGAACAUACUAAUUAACAUUAAGCCGAAUUAAAUAUGUACUAAACAAGACACAUUAAUUCGGCUGAACAUAGUUAAUUCAUGUAAUAUAUUCAAACAAAUUAAAUGACAUCUAGACACCUUUAAUUCAACCAAAUCAACAUAUUAAACACUUGUAAUAAAUUAAGACAUAUUUAAAAGCUGUAAUGAAACUUAUUUAAAUGCUUAUUUAAAUGGUCUAAAACAAAUGAUGCCAACACCAACAAAGCAAACAAGGGGCGCAAACGGGUUGUACUAGAACCCAGAGAUUGGGUUUGGGUCCAUUUGAGGAAAGAACGGUUUCCUACAAAAAGGAAGACUAAGUUGGACCCAAGGGGCAAUGGGCCUUUCCAAGUACUCGAGCGGAUCAACGAUAAUGCCUAUAAAAUUGAUCUACCUGGUGAGUACAAUGUAAGUUCUACUUUUAAUGUAGCUGACUUGUCCCCAUUUGAUUUUUCAGAUUCGAGGAAAAUCUUUUUGAGGAAGGGGGAAUGAUACGAGUCAUAAAGGCCCAAUCCAAGUUCAAGAACGUGCUAGGCUCAAAUUGCCACAAGGCCCAAUAACAAGAUCAAAGGCCCGACAAAUGCGGUCCAAACUAAAUGGGACCAUUCAAGAGCUUGUUAGCAAGGCCUUAGAUGCAUACACGAGAGAACAAGAAAAUCAAGAUUCACUUUUUUGUUUUUAAGAAAAUCAAGAAACCGAAUCUUGGCCCAAUUUUGCUGUUCGAAGAGAUUUCAAGAAUCAAGAAAAUCAAGAUUUCAAAUCUUGGAAAUCUUGGUCCAAGAAACCAAAUCUUGCAGCCAAAAUGCAUUGGAUCUCCAUUACGAGCGUCAACGACCCAAUUUUGGUAGGAGAUGGAUCACGAGCCCAAAUUCUUGAAGGCGAGGCCCAAUAACCAAAAUCCAGCCCAAUCAAGAAAUUUUUUCAUACUUAGUUGAAAAUCAGGCCAAAAUGUCAAAGGGCCCAAUUCGUAAACAUCCUACUUGUUUAAUUUAAUUUUUUAAUCUUUAGGAGCAUUACAUGUAAAAUUCGGCCCAAAACAGCCCAUAUAAGUGCAUGGCCGAAUUUACCUUGUUAUUUUAUUAAUUAGGUUUAAUUUUUAUUAGUUACUUGUGAGAUUAGGAUUUGUUGGAGGCCUAUAUAAGCAUUGGCCAGCCACCCUUUGUAAACACAUCUUAUUAUUAUUUUUUCUAUCAAAUUUCAGAUUUGUUGAGUGCAGAAUUUUCUUUGGGGUUUUCUCCAAGAAUUCUCUCUUGAGUUUUCUUUAGAAGUUGUUUUAACAAUCUUUUGAUUGUGGGAGCCAUCUUCAACCUUCUUCUUGCCAUCGAUAUUCUUUGGAGGGGAGAUUAGAGCCGUUUGAAGGAAUUUGUGAAUUCUUUCAGGAAUUCAAGGGUUCUUAGGACUUUUCUUUAUUUCUUGUUGUUUCGAUUUGUUUCUUUAUUCCUACUUGUGCCGAUUCAUCAUCUAAUAUUUUGCUGUUCUUGUUUGUGUUUCACCCUUGAUUCAAACUCCAAGAACUCUUCAUUUAAUCGGUUCUUUUAUUGGCCACAUAUAAUCGACUCAAAAUUCCCCAAAAUUUAGGGUUCUUGCCGUUUUCUAUUUCUUCUUGUUGGGUGGAAUUCGGCUGCUGAAAUUUGGGCAAUUCAUAUUGGGUGUUCAAUUGGACCGAAUCGCAACUUAAAUUCACUUCUUGAACUGUUCAAUUUCACCUAUUUCUUUCUUUUCUUUUUUUUUUGCCGCCCAAAUCCCUAAUCUUCCAAUUAAAAAUCUGAUUGUUUCAAUCUACUUACUGUUUUGGUGUUCUUGGCAGAUUCGGCUUGUGGGAGUUCAUUCUUGGGAAUCAAUUUCGUGUUCUUGGUUUCAAGAAACCUCUUUCAUAAGUGUUUCGUUCCUUGAUUAGAUUUUGCUGAUUUUUAGGGUUCUUAUUCCAGAUGUUAAUUUUUCCAGAUUUAAUCUCGUUCUUUGUUUGAUUUCAGAUCUGUUCGUUUAGAGCUUUCGUAGGAGUUUCUCGUGACUUGGCAAUUCGAUCUUGGUCCGUGCGCAUUCCUCUAUCAAGUCGUUUCACGUAAUUGCUCGAUCGUCGACGAGGAAUAGUUGAGUUAUCAGAAAUAGGAUGAAAUAAGGCUAAAGAUGCGGAAGCUUUCAAAUGGUUUUAAAGGUUGGCUAAGGUGAUGGUAAAUUUAUAAGGGUAGUAGGCUCGAUUUAAGGAUAAAAAUAAGAAAAAUGGAAGUUGAUAAAUGAAGGCUCAGUUUUGUAAAAAGAUAUUAUAGUUGGGUAAAAUCUAGGAUAGUCGGUGGAAUGGAUAAAUGAGCUUAAACACCAGAAACGAUUCAACACUAAAAAGUGUCACCCCGAUUUCUAUUUGGUUCAAGUGGGAUUACGGAAUUGUAGAAGGGUUGAACGCCACACCAAAGCAAGGUGAUAAGUUCAAAAGAGAACGAUAGACGCCACUAGCACGCUAGAUAAGUCAGAUCGAAACUCGUACGAAUUUAGAGAGGAGAAAACUCACUCUUUGAACAAAGUUCAUUCAAAUGAUCAAAAGUCAAAAGUCCUUUUACAAUAAAAAUGAACAACUAUUUAUAGUGUUCAGCUAGGUAGCCGAAUGGCCAAAACAAAGACUUAAUGUCUAAGUAAUUAAUUAGGCUAGAAAAUGCUAGAAAAUUUUAGAAAUAAAAAACUAAAUUGCUGGAGCUAAAUUCAGAUGAAUUUGAAGCUCAAGGGACGAUUUCUAGAAGAGCAAAUGCACUUGGAGAAAUGGCAGCAGCUAGGUUCAGCCAAUUGAGCUUAAAUGAGCUCAUUAAAAUGUAAUUCUUGGCUGAAAAGAGACCAGCAUUAAAGGUGAACGUGAACAGCCUUGAAGGUGUGAAAAAGGAGUUGGAAAAGUCUUUGGAAGUGUGAACAAUGAUCAGCCAAAUGGUCCUUGGUGUGAACUCCAAAUGUGAACGCAUAGGUGCUGUUUUGGGAAGUGCAUCGGCCAGCUUUUGGAGAAUGAAUUUAGUUGCUCUUCUUGGCUGAAUAAACACCUUGAAUUAUCAUAAAAUGAGCCAUAUCCAUGAAUCCAACCAUUCAUGUAUUCAGCCAUUCAUGUAUACUCCCAUACGUUGUAUUGAACCAUUCAUGCACUUGGACUUUAAUGCUCCUUCAUGCAUUCAGCCAUCCUACAAGAAAAAACAUGAACUAAAUUAAGUGCAAAUGUAUAUUCGGCUGAACUAAAUGGUAUUAAGACAAAUUAAAUAUAAUCCAGCCACCUAAUUAAAUUCGGCUAACACAACAUAAUUAUAACAUGUAAUAAGCUGACAAGUAAUUAAGAGCUGUAACUAAAUUAACUAAUUAACUUAAAUAAUUAAUUUAUUCCAGCAAAUAAAAUUAAUUUAGCUAAAUAGAGCUUGAGGAGCUGAAUUCAAGCUGAAAUCAAGGGCAUCCUUGGCCAGGGUCGUAUCAUCUUCCCAAGCUCGUUCCACAUAGCUUGCUAUUGCAUUUCAAAAUCUCUUAGCUGUGAUCGAGUUAUUGGUCCUCGUGGCAGCUCAAUGGAUUCGGUAGUAAUUUCCCGGGCUAAGGUUGCAUCAGAGGUGGACCAAGAGAAGAUUAAAGCAAUACAAGAAUGGCCACGACCGAAUAACAUCAGCCAAGUUAGAAGUUUUCAUGGCCUUGCAAGCUUCUAUAGGAGGUUUGUACCGAAUUUUAGCACUCUUGCUGCCCCAUUAACCGGUAUUAUAAAAAAAAUUACCUUUUAUUUGGUCUGAUGAACAAGAAUCUGCUUUUGUUAAAAUCAAAGAUUGCUUGACUAAUGCUCCACUUUUAUGUUUGCUGAAUUUUAACAAAAUUUUCGAGGUAGAAUGUGAUGCUUCUGGAAUAGGAAUAGGUGCGGUUUUAACGCAAGAUGGGCGACCGGUGGCUUAUUUUAGCGAGAAACUUAAUGGAGCUACGCUCAAUUAUCCCACCUAUGACAAACAAAUGUACGCAUUGAUACGUGCAUUAGAAACAUGGCAGCAUUACCUUUGGCCUAAGGAGUUCGUUAUACACACGAACCAUGAGGCUUUGAAGCAUUUGAGAGGGCAAACUAAGCUUAACAAACGACAUGCAAAAUGGGUAGAAUUCUUAGAAUCCUUUCCAUAUGUGAUUAAGUAUAAGCAAGGUAAGGAAAAUAUCGUUGCAGAUGCUUUAUCACGAAGGUAUGCUCUUUUAAAUUAUUUGGAUGUUAAGUUACUUGGUUUUGCUUAUUUAAAGGAAUUAUAUGCUAAUGAUUCUGAUUUUGGAGAAGUUUACAAGUUAUGUGUGCAAGGUGCGUAUGACAGGUACUAUCAGCAAGAUGGAUUCCUAUUUCGAGAGAAUAAGUUGUGCAUACCCCAAGGAUCAACUAGAAAUUUGCUGGUUCAUGAAGCACAUAGUGGGGGUUUAAUGGGACAUUUUGGUAUUGGCAAAACUUUGGCCGUUCUUCAAGAACACUUUUAUUGGCCAAAGAUGAAACGAGAUGUGGCUAAAGUGUGCAAUCGCUGUAUUGUUUGCAAGAAGGCAAAAUCAAGGGUCCAGCCACAUGGACUCUAUACUCCAUUAUCGAUCCCAGAAAUGCCAUGGAUGGAUAUUUCUAUGGACUUUGUUUUGGGUCUUCCUAGAACAAAGAAUGGCAAAGAUUCUGUGUUUGUUGUAGUUGAUCGGUUUUCAAAAAUGGCUCAUUUCAUUGCAUGUAACAAAACUGAUGAUGCUUUAAAUGUUGCCAAUCUAUUUUUUAGGGAGAUUGUACGAUUGCAUAGAAUUCCAAGAACCAUUGUUUCAGAUCGAGACACUAAAUUUCUCAGCCACUUUUGGAGGACUUUAUGGGGAAAGAUUGGAACUAAGCUAUUAUUUUCCACAACAAGUCAUCCCCAAACUGAUGGCCAAACAGAGGUUGUUAAUAGAGUUCUGUCAACACUACUGCGGGCCAUUAUACGUAAGAAUUUAAAAACUUGGGAGGAGUGUCUACCUCACAUUGAAUUUGCAUACAAUCGAUCGGUACAUUCAGCUACCAAGUUUUCACCAUUUGAGGUAGUGUACGGAUUUAAUCCCUUAACUCCAUUGGAUUUAUUGCCUUUACCUUUUUGAUAAAUUGGUGCAUGUAGAUGGAAAGAAAAAGGCAGAUUUUGUGAAACAAUUACAUCAGCGAGUUAGGGAUAAUAUUGAACGAAGAACGGAGCAAUAUGCACAUCAAGUUAACAAGGGCCGUAAACGAGUAAUAUUUGAACCUGGUGAUUGGGUUUGGAUUCACAUGCGCAAGGAGAGAUUUCCCGUGCAAAGACGAUCCAAACUAUUACCACGAGGAGAUGGACCUUUUCAAGUCUUGGAGAGAAUUAAUGAUAACGCUUAUAAGUUAGAUUUACCUGGUGAGUAUAGGGUUAGUGCUACUUUUAAUGUUGCUGAUUUAUCUCUUUUCGAUGUAGGUGACGAUUUGGGAGCAAAUCGCCUCGAAAAGGGGGGAAUGAUGCAACCUUAGCCCGGGAAAUUACUACCGAAUCCAUUGAGCUGCCACGAUGACCAAUAACUCGAUCACGAGCUAAGAGAUUUCAAAAUGAAAUAGCAAGCUAUGUGGAACGAGCUUGGGAAGAGGGAGUGGCCGAAUUUGAUAGUCGUGCUUCAAACCGUUCAAAAGGCGUUACUUGCAAUUUAUUGCAAGCUGAAUUUGUUUCUUUUAAUUAACUUGUUUUAGUUUAAUAAAUAAGUUGCUGAUCAAUUAAUUUAACUUAUCUUAAAGUUUUAAUACAUGAGUUAGUUAUUGAACUUUAUUAAAUAAGAUGCUUCUUAAUUGAUCUAGUUCCUAGGAUUAUUUAUUGAUUCAUAAAUUAAGUUCUUUAAAUUAUGCUUCUUUAAUUAAACUAGUUGCUGGAAUAAUUAUUGCAUAUAUUUUUUAGUUCAUUUAUUUAAGUAAGUUUAAUAUGUGUUAUGAUUAAUAAGUGUUUUAAUGUGCUUAAUAAACUCAUUUUAAUGUGUUUAUUGCAGGUGACUUUUUAGCUUAUAGUGGUUACAAUUCAAGGCUGUUACACAUUUAAUAAGUGGCUGUUCAAGUUCUUUUGAGUUACAAUUAAAGGGGCUGUUAAAAAAAGGAGCUUAAAGAUCAUUAAAAGGAGUUUUUAAAGAGCAUUUUAUGCCCUUUAAAAUUCAGCAGCAACUCUUCCACUUCCAGCCGUUUUUGGAGCUUUCAAGAGAAAUUAAUCAAACCUUUGAAUGUCAUUCAGUAGCAGGUUAAAAGAUGGUGUCUAUUCAGCUAGCCAAGGACAACUCAAGAGACAUUUUUAAGACAUUAAAGACAUUCAAAUCAGCUGAAUUGAAAUGAUUUUAUGGAAGGAGUUAUUUGGUUCAAAGCAUAAGAAAAGACAUCAGUUUUUAUGGCACAUUAAGUGGAUGUUUUUUUUGACCAUUCGGUUACCUUGUUCUAGCAUUAUAAAUAGUUGUAAUCAGCCUUGGAGAGGGGACUUUUGCUGAAUAUAGAUGUUAUAUUUGAAUUGUGAGCUAUCCAAUUCUCUUUGUUCUUACGGAAUUGAUUUGACUUAUCAAGCAUAGCUUGUGGCGUCCAUCUUUUCUUUGUUUACCGAACUUAUCACCUUUGGUGUGGCAUUCAAUAUACCUUUGGUUCCUAUCAUAGUUGAUAGUGGGUCAAGGUUUCUUGCUGUUUCUUUAAACCGUUAAACACCUAAGCACCAUUUUGAGAUUCGGGUCAACAAUUCCCUUAUUUGUUGGUUCAUUCUCGGUCUUAUCCAAUUAAUUUGUUAUUGUUUCCUAUCUAUUUUGUUUAUUACCUUUGUUUGAAGCCAUUAUUUCUAUUUUGUUUCCUUUAAACCGAAACGAUUCUAUUCUACUCAAUUCACGAUCGGGGAUCACUAACGACUCGAAUCAAUCACAAAACGAGUUCGUAUCAAUCUUAGUGAAAUUUCACGCUAUUUAAAAAAAUUUAUAUAUACGCCACAUCUUUAAACCUUUCUUUUUCUUUCGAGCCUACCAAAACCAUAUCAUAUUCCUUUGUUUAGGCCCUUGAAGCUGACCCACAAGUGGGAUAAGUCUAAGGUAGCUUUUUAGAAUAUCGAGAGUCGGAUUUGAGAGGUAAAAGGAAAGAGAGUACAUCAAGAUAAAAGCCAAAAAUAGAGUGAAACAUGAGAGGAGUGAAUUCUUUUCUUGUGAGUGAAUUGUGAGGUUUUUUGUGGUGAGGAUAUUUUCUUAAUUUUAAUCAUCAUGUCAAGGAGCCCGGAACGACGAGCAACAAGUGGAGGAGCCUCGAAUGCCGCUGGUGGAGGAGUUAAUCUUCAACCAAGGAGAAACGUUUCCGGAGGUGGAGUGCCCGAUCUACAAGUUCAAGCAAUCGUGCGAGAAAUUUCUCAUUUGUUCCAACCUCAAUUCGAUUCCCUUCAUGAACGAAUGGAACAAAUGGAGGAAUGAAGCCAACGUGCGAACACCCCUCCUGUUCCGAGAAGAGAGCGAGAACGUCCAUGGCAACAUGCAAAUGAUCUAUAUGAAGCAAGUGACGUUGAAAGUGAUCGAGCUUCGCGACAAAGUGCAAGGCGACAAGGCCAACGAGCACGGAGACCAAGAGAUCGAGAGAGGACCGAUGAUGAUUUAAAAAACAUUAAAAUGGCGAUUCCUGCUUUUCAAGGAAGGUCGGAUCUCCAGGCCUAUCUUGAAUGGGAGAAGAAGGUGGAGUUAGUUUUCGAGUGCCACAAUUACUCGGAAAGCAAGAAGGUAAAGUUAGCUGCUAUAGAAUUCUCCGAAUACGCCAUAAUAUGGUGGGAUCAACUCACGUUGAGCCGAAGACGCAAUGGCGAACGUCCCGUGUCUACAUGGGCGAAAAUGAAAGCCAUAAUGAGAAAGCGAUUCAUUCCUGCUUACUAUCACCGGGAGUUGUAUCAAAAGCUCCAAAGCUUAACUCAAGGCCAACGAAGCGUGGAGGAUUACUACAAGGAAAUGGAAGUGGCCAUGAUCCGCGCCGAUGUGGAGGAAGAUCGAGAAGCCACCAUGGCUCGAUUUCUCGCUGGCCUUAACUGAGAUAUUGCAAAUAUUGUGGAGCUACACCAUUAUGUCGAGGUCAUUGAUAUGGUCCAUAUGGCCAUAAAGGUUGAAAAACAAUUAAAGAGAAAAGGUACCUUCCAUUCUUUCCCUAAUACUUCUUCUACGACUAAGUGGGGGCAAGGGUCCAACAAACGAGACUUGCCGAGUCGAAAUAAAGAAGUAAGUGAGCUACAAAUUCAACAAACUAAUUACCGAAUCGAGUAAAGGAAAGAUGGAUGCCCAACCAAAUAGAUCCCGAGACAUCAAAUGCUUCAAAUGUCUUGGAAGGGGCCACAUCGCAAGCCAAUGCCCGAAUCGAAAUGCGAUGUUUGUUCGAGAUGAUGGAGAAAUUGAAUCCGAAAGUGAACAAGAGAAUGAGGCUGUUGAACAACUCGAAGAAGAGGAAGACAUCGAACAAGCCGAGAAUGGAGAAAUCUUGGUUGUGAAAAGAAGUCUCACUUUGCAAGGUGCCGAAAAUGAUCAACAACGCGAAAACAUCUUCCAUACGGGAUGUCAAGUGCAAGGUAAGAUUUGUUGCGUGAUAAUCGAUGGGGGAAGUUGUACAAAUGUGGCUAGUACGUUGAUGGUGGAGAAACUCGGAUUGGCCACCACCAAACAUCCCCAUCUGUAUAAACUCCAAUGGCUUAACGAUGGUGGAGAAUUGAAGGUAACAAAACAAGUGCUAAUUUCUUUCACAAUCGGAAAAUAUCAAGAUGAAGUGAUGUGCGACGUUGUACCGAUGCAUGCGGGGCAUCUUCUUUUGGGACGUCUGUGGCAAUUCGACAAGCAAGAAAUUCAUGAUGGUUACACAAAUUGAUUCUCUUUCAAACAUAUGGGACAAAUGGUGACUCUAGCUCCAUUAUCAUCGAAACAAGUGUACGAAGAUCAACUCAAAAUGAGGAGUUCGAUUGAAAAAUCAAAAGAAAUCGAGAGAGAGCAAAAAAAUGAAAAGAAUAAAGAAAAGAGUGAAGAAAAGAAGAAAAACAAAAAGAUGAGUGAUAAAAAAAGAGAGAGUGAUUCAAAAGAAAAAGAAAUGAGUGAUGAGAUUGAAAAAAAGAAUUUGUUUCUAAAAGAGAGGGAAGUUCGAAAAUCGAUGCUAUUGAAACAACCAUUGUUGGUUCUUUUGUACAAGGAGAGCUUGCUUGGCACUAACGAAUUUGAUGACAAAUUACCUUCUUCUGUUUUGUCUGUGUUGCAGGAAUUUCAAGACGUAUUCCCGGAAGAAAUCCCGAGUGGGUUACCACCUAUUCGUGGAAUUGAACACUAAAUCAAUCUUGUGCCGGGAGCCGCAAUUCCAAACCGACCUGCUUACUGGAGCAAUCCUGAAGAGACGAAAGAAUUACAAAAGUAGAUAAAUGAACUCCUUGAAAAGGGCUAUGUACGUGAAAGCCUUAGUCCAUGCGCCGUGCCUGUUUUACUAGUUCCGAAGAAGGAUGGAACGUGGAGGAUGUGCGUGGACUGCCGUGCUAUAAACAAAAUAACUAUCAAGUAUCGUCAUCCUAUACCACGAUUGGAUGAUAUGCUUGACGAGCUAAGUGGCGCGAGUUUAUUUUCAAAAAUCGACCUUAAGAGUGGUUAUCACCAAAUACGGAUGCGUGAGGGAGAUGAGUGGAAGACUGCGUUCAAAACGAAGCAUGGGCUUUACGAAUGGCUCGUUAUGCCAUUUGGCUUAACGAACGCCCCAAGCACAUUCAUGAGGCUUAUGAAUCACGUUUUAAGACCUUUUAUUGGUAGAUUUUGCGUAGUAUACUUCGACGAUAUAUUGAUCUAUAGUAAAAAUUUGGAUGAACAUAUUUUACAUUUAAAAUCUGUUUUGGAAGUAUUGAGAAAAGAAACCUUGUAUGCUAAUUUGAAGAAAUGUGAUUUCUGCACUAACAAAGUUGUGUUUUUAGGUUUUGUUGUUAGCUCGGAAGGUCUUGAAGUCGAUCAAGAGAAGAUCAAGGCGAUCCAAGAAUGGCCCCGUCCGACGAAUGUCUCCCAAGUUCGAAGUUUCCAUGGACUAGCAAGUUUUUACUGUCGAUUUGUGCCAAAUUUCAGCACCUUAGCCGCACCUUUAACCGGGGUUAUUCGUAAGAAUUCCAACUUCAUUUGGGGAGAGGAACAAGAAAAAUCCUUUUUGAAAAUUAAAGAUUGUCUAACUCAUGCACCGUUAUUAGCUUUGCCUAACUUUGAUAAAACUUUCGAGUUAGAAUGUGAUGCAUCAGGUUUAGGCAUUGGAGCUGUGUUGAUGCAAGAUGGUCGUCCUAUUGCCUAUUUUAGUGAGAAACUGAAUGGUGCUGUCUUAAACUAUCCAACAUAUGACAAGGAGCUCUAUUCGUUGAUCCGAGCCUUAGAAACGUGGCAACACUAUCUUUGGCCCAAGGAAUUCGUCAUACACACCGAUCAUGAGUCCUUGAAGUAUUUAAAGGGGAAACACAAGUUGAAUAAGCGGCACGCUAAGUGGGUAGAAUUUCUCGAAUCUUUUCCCUACGUUAUUAAAUAUAAGAAAGGUAAGGAAAACGUAGUGGCUGAUGCACUAUCUCGAAGGUAUGCGUUGCUAAAUAUUUUGGAUGCUAAGUUAAUGGGGUUUGUAUUUCUUAAAGAUUUAUAUGUCAGCGAUGCUGACUUUGGUGAAUUCUUUAGAUUAUGUGCAAAGGGAGCCUACGAGAAGUACUAUCGACAUGAUGGGUACUUAUUCCGAGAAGGAAAGCUUUGUAUACCCCAAGGUUCCAUACGAGAAGUGUUGAUCGAAGAAGCCCAUAGCGGAGGAUUAAUGGGGCACUUUGGUGUUGCUAAGACAUUAGCUACAUUGCACGAACAUUUCUUUUGGCCCAAGAUGCGACGAGAUGUCGAACGAUUUUGUAAUAGAUGCAUUGCGUGCAAACGGGCUAAGUCAAGAAUUAAGCCCCACGGUUUGUAUAAACCAUUACCUAUUCCCGAAACCCCUUGGUCUGAUAUCUCCAUGGAUUUUGUGCUAGGUUUACCUAGGAGUAAGAAUGGCCGAGAUUCAAUAUUUGUGGUUGUAGAUAGGUUCUCAAAAAUGGCCCAUUUUAUAGCAUGUCAUAAAACUGAUGAUGCCGUUAAUAGUGCUAACUUAUUUUUCAAAGAGGUGGUCAGGUUGCAUGGCAUGCCUAGAACGAUCGUGUCCGACCGAGACGCAAAAUUCCUUAGCCAUUUUUGGAGGACACUAUGGGGGCGUCUUGGAACAAAGUUGCUGUUUUCAACCACUUGCCAUCCGCAAACGGACGGCCAAACCGAAGUGGUCAACCGGAUUCUGUCUACAUUGCUUCGAGCUAUUAUUCGGAAGAAUAUGAAGGCUUGGGAAGAAUGCUUACCACAUGUGGAGUUUGCGUAUAAUCGAGCUGUUCAUUCAGCUACCAAAUUUUCUCCUUUUGAAAUUGUCUAUGGUUUCAAUCCAUUAACUCCACUUGAUUUAUUGCCAUUGCCUUCUAAUCAACUUGUUCAUGUAGAUGGGAAGCGCAAAGCUGAUUUCGUCAAGCAAUUGCACCAACGAGUUCGAGACAAUAUUGAGGCCAAGACCAAGAACUAUGAGCAACAUGCUAACAAAGGUCGUAAGCGAGUUGUGUUCGAACCGGGAGAUUGGGUUUGGUUGCAUAUGCGCAAGGAGAGAUUUCCUAUGCAAAGGCGAUCAAAACUUCUUCCGAGAGGGGAUGGACCGUUUCAAGUCCUUGAGCGAAUUAACGAUAGCUCCUAUAAAUUGGACUUGCCUGGUGAAUAUAAUGUUAGCGCGACUUUUAACGUUUCUGAUUUGUCUCCGUUUGAUGCAGAUUUCGAUUUGAGGGCAAAUCGUUCUGAAGAGGAGGGGAAUGAUGUGAGCUUGCCUACGAACCAAAUGGAGAACGAACAAGAAGCCAUUAAGCUGCCCAUUGGUCCAAUAACACGAGCUAGAGCUAAACGAUUCAAAGAUGCUAUUUUAGCAAUGGUGGAACGGGUUGAGGAAAAUGAUAGCAAGGAGUUUAAAAAUGAGCUGAACAUAUUCAACUUCUUUGAAGCUGAAUUUCAUUCUAGCUAAUUAAUUUGAUGCUGGAAUUUAGACCAUUUAAAUAAACAUUUAAAUAAGUUUCAUUACAGCUUUUAAAUAUGUCUUAAUUAAUUUAAGUGUUUAAUAUGUCUUGAUUUAGUUAAAUUAAAGAUGUCUUGAUGUCAUUUAGUUUGUCUAAAUUAUUACAUGUUUUUAAUUUGUCUAGCCGAAUUUAUGUGUUAUGAUUUGUUAAUAUUUAAGUUGUCUCAAUGUUAUUUAGGAUGUUCACAUUAUAUUUUAAUUUAGUUCAGAUGAAUUUGCUUGAAAUUAAUUAAGUUCAUGUUUAUUUUUAGGUGCAGCCGAAUUUGGAGAUGAAUUGGGCAGAUUCAUGCAUGGAGAUUCAAUGAAUUUGAAGAUGCAUGUGCAGCUGAACUAAUGCAUUAAAAGCUGAUUAAUUUUGGUGUUCUUCAAGGCAACUAUUCGGCCAAGAGUGAUCAAGCUUUUCAUCCUUUCAAGCUUGGCCGAUUCUCUUCCCAAGGGCGUAUAAAAGCUGUUCACACUAUGUCUAUUCGGUUCAGCCAUGUUCACACUUCAAGGCUCUUCAAAACCGUCCAUUCACACUUCUAAAUGGCUGUUCAAGUUGCCAAUUAAUGCUGGUAAUUUUUCAUCAAUAGUUGCUUCAUGAAUGAACUCAUUAAACUCCAUUGGCUGAAUGUAGCUCUGCUAUUUUUCCAAGUUCAUUGAAAGCUCUUCCUUGGUCUCUAUUCAGCCGAACCUUGAUGCAAGCAUAUACAUGAAUUUAAGCUAAAUUUUUGUUCAAUUUUUGCUUAGAAAUUAAGUCUAGAAUAUGUCCAUUCGGCUACUAGACAUUAGACUAUAAAUAGUUGCUCAAUUUCUUAUAAAAGGACUUUUGACAAAUUUCUGAAUGAAAUAUCAUUUUAGUGAGGCAAUUCACUCUCUUUAUUCUCCAAAGCUCUAAUUGACUUAUCUUCAACAAGUGGCGUCAAUCUAACUUUGUUUCGAACUUAUCACCAUUGGUGUGGCGUUCUUCAUACCGUAGGUUCCUAUUUUGCUAAAUAGAGGGUCUCGGUUUUAUCCCAAAUCCUUUCUUUCUUUGAAACCUUAAGCCCCGGGUCCUUAUUUGCUAAUAAGGGUUCGACUUGUUUUCAUUGAAAUAUCCAGUAAACAACACUCCAUCAAACUCCCUUGUUUCCCAAAGCCAUUUAAUUUUAAACACCAAGACUUGAAUUUAUUUCAAGGCCGACACUACCUAAUUUCGAUCGGGAAAUAUUACGACUCGUUAUUUCAUACGAAGUGAGCUCGUAUCAAAUCUCUUCAAACGGCUCUAAUCUCCCCUCCAAAGAAUAUCGAUGGCAAGAAGAAGGUUGAAGAUGGCUCCCACAAUCAAAAGAUUGUUAAAACAACUUCUAAAGAAAACUCAAGAGAGAAUUCUUAGAGAAAACCCCAAAGAAAAUUCUGCACUCAACAAAUCUGAAAUUUGAUAGAAAAAAUAAUAAUAAGAUGUUUACAAAGGGUGGCUGGCCAAUUCUUAUAUAGGCCCCCAACAAAUCCUAAUCUAAUUAGAAAACUUAAAAAAUUUAAACUUAAUUAAAAAAACAAAGUGAUGUGAUCCGGCUCGGUUGAUUGAGUCGAUUCACUUGAUUGCCCGAUCGUCGACGAGAAGUUUGUUCGAUUUUGUAGAUAGAUGGAGUUAGAUGAUUUUUUAUAGCGGAAGUUGAGAAAAUGGGUUCAAAAGAUGGUUUGGAUAGAUGUUUGAUAGGAUCGGUGAAAUAAAGAAAUAUUGUUUAUAAUUUAAUAGUUAAAAUGGAAUGGAAAAAUAGAACUCAAGCGAAGAACGAUUCAAUACUAUAUGAAGUAUUGCCCCGGGACUUAUAUUGCUUAAGGUGGGUUUAAUGGAUUGUCGAAGAUGGACCUUGACCCGUUACCUAUAGAGAGGUAGGAACCAAAGGUAUAAAAAGGUGGAUGAACGCCACACCAAGAUGGUGAUAAGUUUAAGAAGUCGGGUUGACGCCACUAGUGAGCUAGAUAAGUCAGAACGAGACUCGUACGAAAUAGGAUAGGAGGAAACCUCACAAUCAAGUUUUCAAUAAUCAAAUUCUGUAACCUUUUACAAUAAACAAGUAAGCUAUUUAUAAGCCUAAAAUGCCUAUUGAUAUUCGGCAUCUAUGUUGUUCACACUAACUUAAAUUCUGUUCACACAGGUAUUUAACAUGUUCACACAAAUAGCAUUAAAAUCCAGUUCAUGCUUGAAGAUGGUACAUGAAUUGGCCGAACCAUCAUGAUGCUUCACUUGAUGCAUUCAUGCAUCCUUAGCCUUGAAGAAUCUCCAUAAUUCCAUAAUGUGCAGCUCUUUAAUGAUCCUACAUCUCCCUUGGCUGAAUGAGGCAUUAAUGUGCCUAAAAUACUUGAAUGGUCAUCUUGAAAAUGCAUGAAUCAUGCAUGAAACGUCCCAUGUAUUUUCCCCCAUAAAUAUGAUCCAUGAAUCUUCAAAUACAUGAACUUUCAGCAACUCCCUCUUGCAUGAACGUACCAAAUGCAUGUGCUCCUUUAAAUGCCAUCCAUUGAACCUCAAUUGUGCAUGCACACUCCCAUACAUUGCACCAAUCCGUUCAUGAACCUGCAGCAAAUUAAAUCAGCAAGUUAAAUGCAUUUCAAACACAUUAAAUUAGCAGCAUAUGAACUCAAUAAUUUGCACAUUAAAUUUGGCCAUACAUAUUAACAAUUUUAGACAUAUUUAAAACAUCAUAAUUAAUUAAGUAUUUAAUUUAGAUAUAAUUAAAACACUUAAUUAAUUAUUUUUCCAGAUUUUAACAAAUUAACUAACUUAAGAUAAACAACUAAUUUAACUAAUGACAAAUUAAAUGGUUUAUUUCAGCAAAAUAAAUGCAAGCUAAAGAAAGCUAAAAAUAAGCUCAUUGGGUUAAGAUUGAGCUGAAUUGAGCUUGAGUGAGUUGACUUGAGCUCGAGUGAGCUGGAAACGAGCUAAACGGAGCUUAACAAAAUGAAAUUGAACUAAUUCAGCUCGCAUGGAUUUGCAAACAAUGCUUAGGGAGCUGAUCCAAAAGUGUGCCCGGGGCAUGGUCGUAUCACAAAGGAAAAUUCGGCCAUGCAUCCUAUUGGGCUGUUUUGGGCUGAAUUUAACAUGUGAUAUUCCUAAAACUUAAAAAUUAACUUAAACAACUAAAAUGUUUACAAAUUGGGUCCUUUGACAUUUUGGCCUGAUUUUCAACUAAAUAUGUAUGGAUUUCUUGGUUGGGCUGGGAAUUUGCUUAUUGGGCCUCGCCUUUAAGAAUUUGGGCUUGUGAUCCAUCUCCUACCAAAAUUGGGUCGUUGACGCUCGUAAUGGAGAUCCAACGCGCUUUGGCUGCAAGAUUCAGUUUCUUGGACCAAGAUUUCCAAGAUUUGAAAUCUUGAUUUUCUUGAUUCUUGAAAUCGCUCCGAACAGGAAAAUUGGGCCAAGAUUCAAUUUCUUGAUUUUCUUGAAAACAAGAAAGUGAAUCUUGAUUUUCUUGAUUUUAGCCCAUCACCUUCUUAAGCUUGGGUUGGGCCUUUGUGACUCGUAUCAUAUGGAUUUCUUGAUUGGGCUGGGAAUUUGCUUAUUGGGCCUCGCCUUUAAGAAUUUGGGCUUGUGAUCCAUCUCCUACCGAAAUUGGGUCGUUGACGCUCGUAAUGGAGAUCCAACACGCUUUGGCUGCAAGAUUCGGUUUCUUGGACCAAGAUUUCCAAGAUUUGAAAUCUUGAUUUUCUUGAUUCUUGAAAUCACUCCGAACAGCAAAAUUGGGCCAAGAUUUGAUUUCUUGAUUUUCUUGAAAACAAGAAAGUGAAUCUUGAUUUUCUUGAUUUGAGCCCAUCACCUUCUUAAGCUUGGGUUGGGCCUUUGUGACUCGUAUCUUCCUCAAAAAGAUUCGUCCUCGAAUCUAAAAAAAUCAAAUGAACUCGACUUUCCUCGAUCGAAUGGGACUAAUGGCAAUUGAGUCCACUGAAAAGAAUAGCCAUGAAAUAGUAAAUAGCAACGCAAACAAGCUUGUAGUCCAAUUAUAAGCAUAAUGGAACAGGUAUAACGCAUGUGAAUGGACAGAUUCAGAUUACCAUUGAUGUGAUCCGGCUCAGUUGAUUGAGUCGAUUCACUUGAUUGCCUGAUCGUCGACGAGAAGUUUGUUUGAUUUUGUAGAUAGAUGGAGUUAGAUGAUUUUUUUAUAGCGGAAGUUGAGAAAAUGGGUUCAAAAGAUGGUUUGGAUAGAUGUUUGAUAGGCUCAAUGAAAUAAAGAAAUAUUGUUUAUAAUUUAAUAGUUAAAAUGGAAUGGAAAAAUAGAACUCAAGCGAAGAACGAUUCAAUACUAUAUGAAGUAUUGCCCCGGGACUUAUAUUGCUUAAGGUGGGUUUAAUGGAUUGUCGAAGAUGGACCUUGACCCGUUACCUAUAGAAAGGUAGGAACCAAAGGUAUAAAAAGGUGGAUGAACGCCACACCAGGAUGGUGAUAAGUUCAAGAAGUCGGGUUGACGCCACUAGCGAGCUAGAUAAGUCAGAACGAGACUCAUACGAAAUAGGAUAGGAGGAAACCUCACAAUCAAGUUUUCAAUAAUCAAAUUCUGUAACCUUUUACAAUAAACAAGUAAGCUAUUUAUAAGCCUAAAAUGCCUAUUGAUAUUCGGCAUCUAUGUUGUUCACACUAACUUAAAUUCUGUUCACACAGGUAUUUAACAUGUUCACACAAAUAGCAUUAAAAUCCAGUUCAUGCUUGAAGAUGGUACAUGAAUUGGCCGAACCAUCAUGAUGCUUCACUUGAUGCAUUCAUGCAUCCUUAGCCUUGAAGAAUCUCCAUAAUUCCAUGAAUGUGCAGCUCUUUAAUGAUCCUACAUCUCCCUUGGCUGAAUAAGGCAUUAAUGUGCCUAAAAUACUUGAAUGGUCAUCUUGAAAAUGCAUGAAUCAUGCAUGAAAUGUCCCAUGUAUUUUCCCCCAUAAAUAUGAUCCAUGAAUCUUCAAAUACAAGAACUUUCAGCAACUCCCUCUUGCAUGAACGUCCCAAAUGCAUGUGCUCCUUUAAAUGCCAUCCAUUGAACCUCAAUUGUGCAUGCACACUCCCAUACAUUGCACCAAUCUGUUCAUGAACCUGCAGCAAAUUAAAUCAGCAAGUUAAAUGCAUUUCAAACACAUUAAAUUAGCAGCAUAUGAACUCAAUAAUUUGCACAUUAAAUUUGGCCAUACAUAUUAACAAUUUUAGACAUAUUUAAAACAUCAUAAUUAAUUAAGUAUUUAAUUUAGAUAUAAUUAAAACACUUAAUUAAUUAUUUGUCCAGAUUUUAACAAAUUAACUAACUUAAGAUAAACAACUAAUUUAACUAAUGACAAAUUAAAUGGUUUAUUUCAGCAAAAUAAAUGCAAGCUAAAGAAAGCUAAAAAUAAGCUCAUUGGGUUAAGAUUGAGCUGAAUUGAGCUUGAGUGAGUUGACUUGAGCUCGAGUGAGCUGGAAACGAGCUAAACGGAGCUUAACGAAUGAAAUUGAACUAAUUCAGCUCGCAUGGAUUUGCAGACAAUGCUUAGGGAGCUGAUCCAAAAGUGUGCCCGGGGCAUGGUCGUAUCAACCAUGCCUUAAUCAACGGUCUAUAGAUUCACUCACACAUGCAUUAUCAAAAACAAGAAUGUUUUUAUCAACCAUCAAAAUAGAUUUAUCAUCAAUAAAUAAAAUAGGACAGCCAAGCACGUUUCGAUCUAAGUGUUCAUCAACACGAUCUUUGUCGCUAUCCGAGGAGUACAAAAGUGUUUCAAAGGUUUCAAGCAUCUUACCUUGAUAAGCAAAAGAAUAAGGGUCGAUUUUACCUUUUUCAUUUAAAACAAACCUUCGUUCAUCAGGGGCAUAGUGUAGUCGAAUCUCCGUUGUUGAGUUAACCUUUGUCAAAUGGAACUCAAACUUCAUGUACAACCACAUAAACUAUUUAAGGCACGAAUACAAAUUGAAAACAAAUUUGGAAAAUUUCGUUACCUUAUUCUCCAAAACAGAUUUGGACAAAUUCGAGAAUUUUACACAAGGUAAAUCAAGAGAAUAACAAAUCACGCUUCUUUUCGUAAUGACUUUAUCAACCACAAUCGAAGAGUAACAAUUAAUCUGAUCAAAAUGAGGGGAUCUUUUAAGAACCAAGUCACCAAAAGUUUUAUCAAUAAUUUUCAAAUCUGCACUGGACUCGGUUUCUAAAAUUUCCUUACCUCGCUUACCUUCGGGAUCAUGUAGUGUGAUUUCAUCUUUCCCUAAGUUGAUCGUAUGAAAGCGUCUUUCAUUUGAGAGGUAUUGAAGUUGAAAGUUAUCUUUCGAUCUUUCGGGAACCUAAAAAGUAGCAACACAAGAAAAAUUCAUAUCUUGGUUAGUGGAAACAUUCCUCACUACCCUUUCCACGUCUUUUUCUUUUGUUUCUUUUUCUAAUUCAUUUUCUCUUCUUUCUUCAAUUUCUUUUUCACUCUCAAUCUCUUUUUGCUCUUUUUCAUUCUCUUUUUCUUUUUCCUCACUUGUUUUAACAGAAUUUUUCAGUUUGAUUUGGUCCUCAUGGACUUGUUCCGGAGUGAGCGGCACUAAGGUGAGUUUCUUUCCUUGAUGCUUGAAAGAAUACCUAUUGGUACGACCAUCGUGAGUGACUUUUCGAUCCAGUUGCCAUGGUUCUCCUAGCAACAAAUGGCAGGCUUGAAUAGGCAUUACGUCGCACACAACUUCGUCUUGAUACUUACCGAUAAAAAAGGCGAUGCACACUUGUUGAGUGACCCUAAAUUGGCCUUCGUUGCUAAGCCCUUGUAGUUGAUAAGGUUGUGGAUGUUUGGUAGUGGUUAAGCAAAGCUUUUCCACCAUCGUCGUGCUGGCUAUGUUCGAGCAACUUUCACCAUCAAUAAUAACUCUACAAAGCUUACCUUGUACAUGGCAGCGAGUAUGAAAGAGAUGUUCUCGUUGCUGCUCGCUCUUUGGUUUUGCCAAAGAUGAUUGUCCACGAUCAUGAAAAUCAUCAUCCAUUCUAGGGACACAUUGAGGGCUGCACUUAUAGGGCUGGUUAUCCCUAUCUUCCUUAAUUGGAUCUCGAUAUUGAUGUUUUUGAUUCACUCGUACCUCAUUCAAAGUAGUAUUCAAUGCUUGAAGUGUAGCAUUUAUUUGUGUGAUUGCAGCAGUAUGUUCGUCUAACUGUUGUUGGACUUUCAUAAGUGUAUCAUUAUUAUCACCUUUAGACAUCUUCAAAACCUGUAAAAAAUAAACACUCAACACUCAAAAAUAAAAGUUAGCAAACCUCACCAUUAAUCACUCAAAAAGAAAAAUCAAAUUCUCAAUGAGGUCGAAUUCAAUCUUGUGAGUUCUUUAUCAGAGUUUAUAUCAACCAAUUAGAGAGUGUGAACCAAACUACCAAAGAAUCCUAAUUUGCACUAGGAUGCCAAAAACUGACGAGACACCAAGUGAUUCGUGUUGCACCGGGGAAGGAGUUGUGCACACGUGUAAAUCCUACUAACACAAGAAACAAGAAGGUGUUAGAUAACAUAACGGAAUAAUAAAAGCAAACAAAUGAAAACCUACAGCUAAGAAUCAAUAAAAAUUGCUGAAAACAGAAAACCUGAAAAACUGCGGAGUAACUUGACAACUUCGUUCGAGGUGUUCUUGAUCUCUAAAAAUCACGAAAUUAAAUCUGGAAUGUACUUAAAUAUUUAAUUUUUGAUCUGGAAAUUUUGGGCACCAAAUUCAAGUCGCUGAAUCUUUUUUUAAAUUUUUAUUGAAUUUCAUAUUUUUUUUAUUUUUUUGACUUUUUUGACUGAUUUUUUUGCGGGAAUAAUUUUUUUAUAUUCAAUAACAGUUCCAAAAACAUUUAUGUAAAAUUUCAGAUCAAUCGGACAACGUUUACCCACUCAAAUGAAUUUUUUUUGAACAAUUUUUCUGGGUAAAACUGCUGUUUAUGCUUUAAAAAAUAGAGAUCAGUUUAGAAAUCAACCAAGAACACCCAAAACGCCCAAAAUCUGAUACCAAAUGAUACGGGGUUGCGCGCGGACCAAGAUCAAGUUGCCACGUCACGAGAAACUCCUACGAAAGAUCCUAGACGAACAGAUCUGAAAUCAAAAACAAAGAUUAAGAUUAAACCGAAUCAGAUUUGAAUUUAAAUCCCCAAAUUCAAUUAAAGGAGCAGCAAGAAUCAAAGAAAUAGAAUAGAUGAAUCAAACGAAAUUGGAAGUAUAGAAAGAUUGCGAAUCGGUCAACAAAUUGAUUCGGCCAAGAAUGCCCAAUUUCCAGCAAUCAAUUGAUUCCCAAAUUGAAAGAAAUCCAAUCGGCCAAACCCUAGGAAUUGGGGAUUUUUGGGUUCGAAUGGGUGCUGCCAAUAGGAGAACAACUUAAAUGAUGAAAUCUUGAGUUUAAUCAAUGCUGGAAAACAAACAAGAACAGCAAAAUAUUAGAUGAGAAAUCGGCACAAGUAUAAGCAAAGAAAAGUAAAGAAAGAAAUCGAAAAUAGCAAGAAUUAAAGGAUAAGUCCUAAAGAUCCUUAAAAUCCUGAAAGAUUUCACAAAUCUCUUCAAAUGGCUCUAAUCUCCCCUCCAAAGAAUAUCGAUGGCAAGAAGAAGGUUGAAGAUGGCUCCCACAAUCAAAAUAUUGUUAAAACAACUUCUAAAGAAAACUCAAGAGAGAAUUCUUGGAGAAAACCCCAAAGAAAAUUCUGCACUCAACAAAUCUGAAAUUUGAUAGAAAAAAUAAUAAUAAGAUGUUUACAAAGGGUGGCUGGCCAAUGCUUAUAUAGGCCUCCAACAAAUCCUAAUCUAAUUAGAAAACUUAAAAAAUUUAAACUUAAUUAAAAAAAAACAAAGGAAAAUUCGGCCAUGCAUCCUAUUGGGCUGUUUUGGGCCGAAUUUAACAUGUGAUAUUCCUAAAACUUAAAAAUUAACUUAAACAACUAAAAUGUUUACAAAUUGGGCCCUUUGACAUUUUGGCCUGAUUUUCAACUAAAUAUGUAUGGAUUUCUUGAUUGGGUUGGGAAUUUGCUUAUUGGGCCUCGCCUUUAAGAAUUUGGGCUUGUGAUCCAUCUCCUACCGAAAUUGGGUCGUUGACGCUCGUAAUGGAGAUCCAACGCGCUUUGGCUGCAAGAUUCGGUUUCUUGGACCAAGAUUUCCAAGAUUUGAAAUCUUGAUUUUCUUGAUUCUUGAAAUCGCUCCAAACAGCAAAAUUGGGCCAAGAUUCGAUUUCUUGAUUUUCUUGAAAACAAGAAAGUGAAUCUUGAUUUUCUUGAUUUUAGCCCAUCACCUUCUUAAGCUUGGGUUGGGCCUUUGUGACUCGUAUCAUAAUCCCAAAUUAUUCAAAACAAAACGGCACAAGCAGAAUUUAAUAAAGAAGAAUGAACAGCAAAAGAAUAAAGAAAAGUCCUAAGAAGCCUUGAAAUCCUGAAAGAUUUCAAAACUCCCUUCAAACGGCUCUAAUCUCCCCUCCAAUGAAGAUCAAUGGCAAAAGAAGGCUGAAGAUGGCUCCCACAAUCAAAAAGAUUGUUAAAACUACUUCUAAAGAAAACUUAAGAGAAAAUUCUUGAAGAACUCAAAGAGAAUUUUCACUCAAAGAAAAUCUGAAAUUUUCGAUGUAAUUGUAAUGUGUCUAACAAGGGUGGCCGGCCAUGCCUAUAAAUAGGUGAUACGAGUCACAAAGGCCCAACCCAAGUUCAAGAACGUGAUGGGCUCAAAUUACCACAAGGCCCAAUAACGAGAUCAAAGGCCCGACAAAUGCAUUCCAAACUAAAUGGGACCAUUAAAGAGUUCGUUAGCAAGGCCUUAGAUGCGUACACAAAAAAUGAGAAAAUCAAGAUUCACUUUCUUGUUUUCAAGAAAAUCAAGAAACCGAAUCUUGGCCCAAUUUUGCUGUUUGGAGCGAUUUCAAGAAUUAAGAAAAUCAAGACUUCAAAUCUUGGAAAUCUUGGUCUAAGAAGCUGAAUCUUGCAGCUAAAGCGCAUUGGAUCUCUGUCACGAGCAUCAACUACUCAAUUUUGGUAAAAGAUGGAUCACAAGCCCAAGUUCUUGAAGGCAAUGCCCAAUAAGAAUUUUCCAAGCCCAAGCAAGAAAUCUACCCAUAUUUAGUUGAAAAUCAGGCCAAAUUGUCAAAGGGCCCAAUUUGUAAACAUUUUAAUUGUCAAUUUAAAUUUUAGGCUUUAGGAAGGUUACAUGUUAAAAUUCGGCCCAAAACAGUCAAUUUAAGUGCAUGAUCGAAUUUAGCUAUUAUUUUUAUUAAUUAGGUUUAAUUUUUAAGUUUUCUAAUAAGAUUAGGAUUAGUCUAAGGCCUAUUUAAAGGCAUGGCCGGCCACCCUUGUACAUACUACUUCUCAAUUAUAUUGAAAAUUUCAGAUUUGUUUAAGUGCAGAAUUCUCUUUGAGUUUUUCUCCAAGAAUUCUCUCUUGAGUUUUCUUUAGAAGUUGUUUUAACAAUCUUUUGAUUGUGGGAGCCAUCUUCAACCUUCUUCUUGCCAUUGAUAUUCUUUGGAGGGGAGAUUAUGAUGCAACCUUAGCCCGGGAAAUUACUACCGAAUCCAUUGAGCUGCCACGAGGACCAAUAACUCGAUCACGAGCUAAGAGAUUUCAAAAUGUAAUAGCAAGCUAUGUGGAACGAGCUUGGGAAGAGGGAGUGGCCGAAUUUGAUAGUCGUGCUUCAAACCGUUCAAAAGGCGUUACUUGCAAUUUAUUGCAAGCUGAAUUUGUUUCUUUUAAUUAACUUGUUUUAAUUUAAUAAAUAAGUUGCUGAUAAAUUAAUUUAACUUAUCUUAAAGUUUUAAUACAUGAGUUAGUUAUUGAACUUUAUUAAAUAAGAUGCUUCUUAAUUGAUCUAGUUCCUAGGAUUAUUUAUUGAUGCAUAAAUUAAGUUCUUUAAAUUAUGCUUCAUUAAUUAAACUAGUUGCUGGAAUAAUUAUUGCAUAUAUGUUUUAGUUCAUUUAUUUAAGUAAGUUUAAUAUGUGUUAUGAUUAAUAAGUGUUUUAAUGUGUUUAAUAAACUCAUUUUAAUGUGUUUAUUGCAGGUGACUUUUUUGCUGAAUAUAGAUGUUAUAUUUGAAUUGUGAGCUAUCCAAUUCUCUUUGUUCUUACGGAAUUGAUUUGACUUAUCAAGCAUAGCUUGUGGCGUCCAUCUUUUCUUUGUUUACCGAACUUAUCACCUUUGGUGUGGCGUUCAAUAUACCUUUGGUUCCUAUCAUAGUUGAUAGUGGGUCAAGGUUUCUUGCUGUUUCUUUAAACCGUUAAACACCUAAGCACCAUUUUGAGAUUUGGGUCAACAAUUCCCUUAUUUGUUGGUUCAUUCUCAGUCUUAUCCAAUUAAUUUGUUAUUGUUUCCUAUCUAUUUUGUUUAUUACCUUUGUUUGAAGCCAUUAUUUCUAUUUUGUUUCCUUUAAACCGAAACGAUUCUAUUCUACUCAAUUCACGAUCGGGCAUCACUAACGACUCGAAUCAAUCACGAAACGAGUUCGUAUCAGAUUAGAGCCGUUUGAAGGGAGUUGUAGAAUCUUUUGGGAUUUCAAGGCUUCUUAGGACUUAUCUUUUAAUUUCUUGCUGUCAAUUUUUUUCUUUUAAAUUCUGCUUGUGUUGAUUUUAUUUAAUCACUUUGUUUGCUGUUCUUGUUGCGUUUCAGGCGUUCCAAAGCAUUCCAAAUCUGAUUCUCCCUCUUCUUUACUAAAGAUUGGAUCGCCUCUUUUGUUCUUGGCAGCAAAAUUCGUUCAAAAUCCCUAAAUUCCAUGUUCUUGCCGAUUUCUUCUUUUCAGAUUUGGGUUGUUUUGAUUGCUGGAAUUUUGGGGAAAUUUAACUUGUUGUUUGUGUCUUUCUUUUCAGAUUCAGCAGAUUGGAGUAUGCUUUGGGGUUCAAUUACAUGUUCUUGAUUCCCCAAGAACCUUUAUUAACACUUAUUCUUAUUCUCAAUUUGAUUCUUUUCUGGUUUUGGGAUUUUUAUUUCAGAUCUGGAAAUUCAAAGUUCUAAUCUUUUAAUUUCUAUUUGUUUCAGAUCUGUUCGUUUAGAGCCUCGUAGGAGUUUUUCUCGUGACUUGGCAACUCGAUCUUGGUCCGCGCGCAACCCUCUAUCAUUUGGUAUCAGAUUUUGGGCGUUUUGGGUGUUCUUGGUUGAUUUCGAAACUGAUCUCUAUUUUUUAAACUACAAACAGCAAUUUUACCUAGAAAAUUUUUUGAAAAAAAUUCAUUUCAGUGGGUAAACGUUUUCUGAUUGAUCUAAAAUUUUACAUUCAUAUUUUUGGAACUGUUAUUGAAUAUAAAAAAAUUAUCCCCGCAAAAAAAUCAGUCUAAAAAGUCAAAAAAAUCAAAAAAAUAUGAAAUCUAAUAAAAAUUUAAAAAAAUAUUCAGUGGGUUGAAUUUGGUGCCCAAACUUUCCAGAUAAAAAAAUUAAAUAUUUAAGGACAUUCCAUAUUUAAUUUCGUGAUUUUUGGAGAUCGAGAACACCUCGAACGAAGUUGUCAAGUUACUCCGCAGUUUUUUGAGUUUUCUGGUUUCAGCAAUUUUUAUUGAUUCUUAGCUGUAGGUUUUCAUUUGUUUGAUUUUAUUCUCCCUUUACAAUAUCUAACACCUUCUUGUUUCUUGUGUUAGUAGGAUUUAAACGUCUGCACAAUCCUUCCUCGGUGCAACACGAAUCAAUUGGUGUCUUGUCAGUUUUUGGCAUCAUAGAGCAAAUUAGGAUUCUUUGGUAGUUCGGUUCAUACACUCUCUAAUUGGUUGAUAUAAACUCUACUAAAGAACUCACAAGACUGAAUUCUACCUCAUUGAGAAUUUGUUAUUUCUUUUUGAGUGAUUAAUGGUGAGGUUUGCUAACUUUUAUUUUUGAGUGUUGAGUGUUUAUUUUUGUAGGUUUUUGAAAAUGUCUAGAGGUGAUAAUAAUGAUGACACAUUUAAAAAAUUCCAACAACAGUUGGACGAACAGGCUGCUGCACUUCGAGCUUUGACUGCUACCAUCAAUGAAGUGCGAUUGAAUCAAGAGUCUCAAUAUCAAUGAAGUGUGAUUGAAUCAUAGGUGCGGUCCUAGACGUGUCACUAGAACUAAUGUUGAUUUUCAUGAUCAUGGACAACCCUCUUUGGCAAAACCGAAGUUCACAAUUCCCUAAUUUCGUGGUAAGAAUGAUCCAGAAGCUUAUUGUGAAUGGGAAUCUAAGAUUGAACUUAUGUUUCAGUACUAUAAAUGUCCGGAUGAUGAAAAGGUGGCAUUAGCAACUCUAGAAUUUUUAGAUUAUGCAUUAAGUUGGUGGACUCAACUUGGGGUAAAUCGUCAUCGAAAUUAUGAAGGUGAGAUCUCGACAUGGGAUGAGUUGAAAUAGAUUAUGCGUAAAAGGUUUAUUCCACCUCACUACUAUAGAGAAAUUAAAACAAAGCUGAGAAGACUUGUUCAAGGUAGUAGGACGGUGGAUGAAUAUUUUAAGGAGAUGGAGAUGCUCGUUCAGAGAGCUAAUGUGGAGGAGGAUGAGAAAACAACUAUGGUUCGAUUUAUUGAAGGUUUGAAUAGGCCGAUAGUUAAUACAUUGAGGCUACAAACUUACAUUGAUUUGGAAGAAGCAGUUCACAAAGCCAUUGAGAUCGAGCAACAAUUAAAGAACAAAGGUUUGGGUCCUUCUCUACUUCACAAUAUUACCGAGGUAACAAUUUCAAUUCUGAUUUUAAAAGUUCAAAAUCACCUUUUGUUACUAAUAAGUCUUCUUUGAGUAACAAGCAAUCAGAUUGGAAAAAAGGGGCUCCUGCUAAAACGCAAACACCUUCUAAGCAGCCCAAUUUAGGUGAUUCAAAUAUGAAGAGGACUCGUGAGAUUGAAUGUUUUAAGUGCAAAGGGCGUGGUCAUUAUAGUAGGGAAUACCCUAACACGAGAUUACUUCUUCUGAAAGAUAAUGGUGAGUACACUUCUGACUUUGAUAAAACAGAUCCAGAUAUGCCAGAACAUGUGGAUGACAGUGAUAAUGGUGAAGAGUUGGUCGAACCACCAAAAGAACGGUACUUUGCUAAUUUUCAAUGCCUUGUAGUUCGCUGAACCCUUAACAUCCAGAUGAAAGAUGAUGACAACCAAAGGACAAAUAUUUUCCAUUCUCGGUGUUUUAUUAAAUGAUACACCCCGGCCUCAGUGAUGAGAGUCAAGUCGUUGAUGUGCCCGGUCGUGAAUUGGAGUAAUAUUAAUGAUGCGAUCCCGGUCGCAUCAUGUUACGACACAACUCGAUGCUACCGAGAUUGGCCCAAACUCGAGGGGCCCAAGUGCAAAAUGAAUUUUUUAAUUUCAGUUUGUCAAUUUGGUAGCUGGAAAAUAAGGACUUUGAUUCAUUAAUUUUUAGUUAUUUUAGUUUGUGUUUUUAAUUAUGUCAUAGUUUGCACAUCAUUAAUAUCUGUUCUGCAUUUAAUAAAGUCAUGCAUUAUGUAACUUUCAUGUUAGUUAAGUUUGCAUCAUUAAAUUAAGUCAAGUUAGUUUAAUUAUGUAACUUUCAUGUUAGUUAAAUUUGCAUUUCAAAACCAUGCAUUUAAGCAUCUUAGUUUAAUAAAUGAGUUGCUGGACAUUUAUUCAACUCAUCUUAGUUUUAAUUAAUAAGUGUUUUUGUUGAACUUUAUUUAUUAAGUGUUGUUCUUAAUUAAUCUAGUUCCUAGGAUUAUUUAUUGAUGCAUGAGUUAAGUUCAUUUAAUUAUGCUUCUUUAAUUAAACUAGUUGCUGGAAUAAUUAUUGCAUAUAUGUUUUAGUUCAUUUAUUUAAGUAAGUUUAAUGUUUGUUAUGAUUAAUAAGUGUUUUCAUUUGUUUAAUAAACUCAUUUUAAUGUGUUUAUUGCAGGUGACUUUUUAGCUUAUAGUGGUUACAAUUCAAGGCUGUUACACAUUUAAUUAAGUGGUUGUUCAAGUUCUUUUGAGUUACAAUUAAAGGGGCUGCUAUAAAGGGAGCUUAAAAUCAUUAAAGGAGUUUUUAAAGAGCAUUUUAUGCCCUUUAAAAUUCAGCAGCAACUCUUCCACUUCCAGCCAUUUUUGGAGCUUUCAAGAGAAAUUAAUCAAGCCUUUAAAUGUCAUUAAGGAGCUGGUUAAGAGAUGGUGACUAUUCAACUAGCCAAGGACAACUCAAGAGUCAUUUUCUAAGCCAUUAAAGACAUUCAAAUCAGCUGAAUUAAAGUGAUUUUAUGGAAGGAGUUAUUUGGUUCAAAGAAUAAGAAAAGACAUCAGUUUUUACGGCACAUUAAGUGGAUGUUUUUGACCAUUCGGUUACCUUGUUUUAGCAUUAUAAAUAGAUGUAAUCAGCCAUAGAGAAGGAGAACUUUUUGCUGAAUAUAGAUGAAAUAUUUGAAUUGUGAGCUAUCCAAUUCUCUUUGUUCUUUCGGAAUUGAUUUGACUUAUCAAGCAUUGCUUGUGGCGUCCAUCUUUUCUUUGUUGCUGAACUUAUCACCUUUGGUGUGGCGUUCAAUAUACCUUUGGUUCCUAUCAUAGUUGAUAGUGGGUCAAGGUUCCUUUCCUGUUUCCUUUAACCGAAAAACACCUAAAGACCAUUUUGAGAUUCGGGUCAACAAUUCGUUAUUGUUGGUUCAUUUUCGGUCUUAGCCAAUUAAUUUGUUAUUGUUUCCUCUUUAUUUUGUUUAUUACCUUUGUUUUAAACCAUUAUCUCUAUUUUGUUUCAUUUUAAAACCGAAACGAAUCCAUCCUUACUCAAUUCACGAUUGGGCAACACAUACGACUCAAAACAUCACGAGACGAGUUCGUAUCAAUUAAGGUUUAUCGAAGAUAGGUUAAGAAAGAAAGAAUAAAGGCUCAAAUUGGUUCAAAGAGGUUAUAGAAUGAAUGGAGAUUGUUAGGUGAACGUAAACCAAGUAUUAAAGUUGAUCUAACACAAUAUAAGUGUGUUAUCCCGAAACUUAUACGAAUGCUUAGGUUGAGAUUGUAACGGUUAGGAAGGUAGGUAAUAGAAACGCAACCUCGACCCACUAUCAAUAUUGAUAGGAACCUCGGUAUAACUUGAACGCCACACUUUGGGUACAAAGUGAUAAGUUCGAAAUACAAAAACGAGUUGACGCCACAAGGGUUACUUGAUAAGUCUAACCAGUCCUUGGAGAACAAUGAGAGUUGAAAACAAACUCACAAAGUAAACAAAUUUCAUAUAAAGUUUUAAAAAUAUAUUGUCUAACCUUUACAAAGCUUAUAACCAAGGUAUUUAUAGACAAAAAAUAAGGUAAACGAAUGGCCACAAAUCAGCCCUUAAUGUUGUUCUAGAAGGAUGAAUAAAUGCUUAAACUCUUUACUUCAACCGAACAGCCAAUAUUGGUUUCUUAAAUCCGUUCAUUCAUCCUUAGCUAGGAAGUAAGUUGAUCAAGCUCCUAUCCAUGCACUUGGAACAAUGGUGGUGGCUGCACAUUAAUGUAUACACAAAGGGUGGCUUGGGAAAAUAAAUCAGCAACACCUUUUGAUACGAGUCAUAAAGGCCCAAUCCAAGUUCAAGAACGUGAUGGGCUCAAAUUGCCACAAGGCCCAAUAACGAGAUCAAAGGCCCGACAAAUGCAGUCCAAACUAAAUGGGACCAUUCAAGAGCUUGUUAGCAAGGCCUUAGAUUCAUACACGAGAGAACAAGAAAAUCAAGAUUCACUUUCUUGUUUUCAAGAAAAUCAAGAAAUCGAAUCUUGGCCCAAUUUUGCUGUUCGAAGAGAUUUCAAGAAUAAAGAAAAUCAAGAUUUCAAAUCUUGGAAAUCUUGGUCCAAGAAACCAAAUCUUGCAGCCGAAACGCAUUGGAUCUCCAUUACGAGCGUCAACGACCCAAUUUUGGUAGGAGAUGGAUCACGAGCCCAAAUUCUUGAAGGCGAGGCCCAAUAACCAAAAUCCAGCCCAAUCAAGAAAUUUCUUCAUACUUAGUUGAAAAUCAGGCCAAAAUGUCAAAGGGCCCAAUUUGUAAACAUCUUACUUGUUUAAUUUAAUUUUUUUUAAUCUUUAGGAGCAUUACAUGUAAAAUUCGGCCCAAAAUAGCCCAUAUAAGUGCAUGGCCGAAUUUACCUUGUUAUUUUAUUAAUUAGGUUUAAUUUUUAUUAGUUACUUGUGAGAUUAGGAUUUGUUGGAGGCCUAUAUAAGCAUUGGCCAGCCACCCUUUGUAAAAUCAUCUUAUUAUUAUUUUUCUAUCAAAUUUCAGAUUUGUUGAGUGCAGAAUUUUCUUUGGGGUUUUCUCCAAGAAUUCUCUCUUGAGUUUUCUUUAGAAGUUGUUUUAACAAUCUUUUGAUUGUGGGAGCCAUCUUCAACCUUCUUCUUGCCAUCGAUAUUCUUUGGAGGGGAGAUUAGAGCCGUUUGAAGGAAUUUGUGAAUUCUUUCGGGAAUUCAAGGGUUCUUAGGACUUUUCUUUAUUUCUUGCUGUUUCGAUUUGUUUCUUUAUUCCUACUUGUGCGAUUCAUUAUCUAAUCUUUUUGCUGUUCUUGCUUGUGUUUCAGCUUUGUUUAACUCCAAGAUCCUUCCAUUUAAUCGGUCUACUUUUGGGCAGUAAAGUUUCGAACCAAAAUCCCUAAAUCCUAGGGUUCUUAUCGAUUAAUACAUUCUGAUUUUGGGGAAAUCAAGUUGCUGGAAUUUGGGGUUUUUAUUGUCGGUUUGUUCUUGGGCAGAUUCGGCUGGUGGGAUUUCACUAUUGGAGUUCGACUUCAUCUUCUUAAACUCCGAAUACAUUUAUUCAUUCGUUCUUUGUUCCUUGCUGCUCAUUUAAUUGAAUUUGGGGAAUUUCAAUUCAAUUCAGAUUUGCUUUUAAUCUUGUUCUUUGUUUUAAUUUUCAGAUCUGUUCGUUUAGAGCUUUCGUAGGAGUUUCUUGUGACUUGGCAACUCGAUCUUGGUCCGCGCGCAACCCCGUAUCAUUUGGUAUCAGAUUUUGGGCAUUUUGGGUGUUCUUGGUUGAUUUCUAAACUGAUCUCUAUUUUUUAAAGCAUAAACAGCAGUUUUACCCAGAAAAAUUAUUCAAAAAAAUUCAUUUGAAUGGGUAAACGUUGUCCGAUUGAUCUGAAAUUUUACAUACAUGUUUUUGGCACUGUGAUUGAAUAUAAAAAAAUUAUUCCCGCAAAAAAAGCAGUCAAAAAAGACGAAAUUCAAUAAAAAUUUAAAAAAAGAUUCAGCGGAUUGAAUUUGGUGCCCAAAAUUUCCAGAUCAAAAAUUCAAUAUAUAAGGACACUCCAUAUUUAAUUUCGUGAUUUUUGGAGAUCGGGAACACCUCGAACGAAGUUGUCAAGUUACUCCGCAGUUUUUCGGGUUUUCUGUUUUCAGCAAUUUUUAUUGAUUCUUAGCUGUAGGUUUUCAUUUGUUUACCUUUAUUCUUCCUUUACGUUAUCUAACACCUUCUUGUUUCUUGUGUUAGUAGGAUUUAAACGUGUGCACAACUUCUUCCUCGGUGCAACACGAAUCAAUUGGUGUCUCGUCAGUUUUUGGCAUCCUAGUGCAAAUUAGGAUUCUUUGGUAGUUUGGUUCACACUCUCUAAUUGGUUGAUAUAAACUCUGAUAAAGAACUCACAAGAUUGAAUUCGACCUCAUUGAGAAUUUGAUUUUUCUUUUUGAGUGAUUAAUGGUGAGGUUUGCUAACUUUUAUUUUUGAGUGUUGAGUGUUUAUUUUUUACAGGUUUUGAAGAUGUCUAAAGGUGAUAAUAAUGAUACACUUAUGAAAGUCCAACAAUAGUUAGACGAACAUACUGCUGCAAUCACACAAAUAAAUGCUACACUUCAAGCAUUGAAUACUACUUUGAAUGAGGUACGAGUGAAUCAAAAACAUCAAUAUCGAGAUCCAAUUAAGGAAGAUAGGGAUAACCAGCCCUAUAGGUGCAGCCCUCAACGUGUCCCUAGAAUGGAUGAUGAUUUUCAUGAUCGUGGACAAUCAUCUUUGGCAAAACCAAAGAGCGAGCAGCAACGAGAACAUCUCUUUCAUACUCGCUGCCAUGUACAAGGUAAGCUUUGUAGAGUUAUUAUCGAUGGUGAAAGUUGCUCGAACAUAGCCAGCACGACGAUGGUGGAAAAGCUUUGCUUAACCACUACCAAGCAUCCACAACCUUAUCAACUACAAGGGCUUAGCAACAAAGGCCAAUUUAGGGUCACUCAACAAGUGCGCAUCGCCUUUUCUAUCGGUAAGUAUCAAGACGAAGUUGUGUGUGACGUAAUGCCUAUUCAGGCCUGCCAUUUGUUGCUAGGAGAACCAUGGCAACUGGAUCGAAAAGUCACUCACGAUGGUCGUACCAAUAGGUAUUCUUUCAAGCAUCAAGGAAAGAAACUCACCUUAGUGCCGUUCACUCCGGAACAAGUCCAUGAGGACCAAAUCAAACUAAAAAAUUCUGUUAAAACAAGUGAGGAAAAAGAAAAAGAGAAUGAAAAAGAGCAAAAAGAGAUUGAGAGUGAAAAAGAAAUUGAAGAAAGAAGAGAAAAUGAAUUAGAAAAAGAAACAAAAGAAAAAGACGUGGAAAGGGUAGUGAGGAAUGUUUCCACUAACCAAGAUAUGAAUUUUUCUUGUGUUGCUACUUUUCAGGUUCCCGAAAGAUCGAAAGAUAACUUUCAACUUCAAUACCUCUCAAAUGAAAGACGCUUUCAUACGAUCAACUUAGGCAAAGAUGAAAUCACACUACAUGAUCCCGAAGGUAAGCGAGGUAAGGAAAUUUUAAAAACCGAGUCCAGUGCAGAUUUGAAAAUUAUUGAUCAAACUUUUGGUGACUUAGUUCUUAAAAGAUCCCCUCAUUUUGAUCCGAUUAAUUGUUACUCUUCGAUUGUGGUUGAUAAAGUCAUUACGAAAAGAAGCGUGAUUUGUUAUUCUCUUGAUUUACCUUGUGUAAAAUUCUCGAAUUUG